This 54900-nucleotide long non-coding RNA is filed under the name Physcomitrium patens. Its description in RNAcentral is "long non-coding RNA (PPAT_LNC009000)". Lineage: Eukaryota; Viridiplantae; Streptophyta; Bryopsida; Funariales; Funariaceae. The record is from RNAcentral.
UAUCUGCGACAUCCCCUCGUAUCUAAAGUUUCAUCCUUGUCUCCUUCUCUGCACCCUUUUAUAGGAACAUCAUCCAGAAAAGGCAUAGUCUUUUCCGGAAUAAAAUCUCUCAAUACCUUAUUCAUCCCAUUCAUCAUAUGCGCAACUGAGUUGGUCGCGCCUUGAGGAAGAGUGCACAUUCUAAGCAAUCCAAGCGGUGUUCUCAUCGUUGUCAUAUCUCUACUUCCUUCGGCAAGUUGAAAUUGAUCAUAACCUGAAUACAAAUCACUCAUUGAAUAGAUCGCCCUUCCAGCAAACGCCUCAGCAAAUUCAUCCACAAUAGGUCCAAUUCCUACAUUCCUGACAGUUACAGCAUUCACCGGCUGCAUAUCUUGAAUAAACCGCAGUGACCCAAUCUUCUUAGGUACCGUAAACCAUUGACUAGAAUACGGCGCAAAUGAAGGUUCUAAUAUUUUUAUCUUUUCUUUCAAUAGUUCCACCAAUUUAGGUAAAUGUGCCCUCGGUACUGGAAUUGGUCUUAGAUUCCAAGGUACAUGCGGUACAAUGAAGAUAACCAUAGGUGUUAUAAUAUUUGGAUCCACACACCCAAUUUCAUGAGAUUCGAAGGCAAACGAUCUACCUUGUUUAGCCAACAUCUUUUUGAAGCAAGUAAUUUCCUCUGGCAAUAAAGAACCAUCAGAACCAAUCUUCAAUUCUUCAAAAGUCUCUUCAGUAAACUGAUGUCCAAUACUCAUUGGAUCUCUUAAACUCGCUUCUUUUGAUGCUUCUCCCAUUUGUUCUUUAGAAUCCUCUGGUAAUGGUCUGACAAUAGGCUUUACCUUCUUAUCUGCCGUUUUAUAUCUCGUCUCUACUGUGACUUCUGGUGCUUGAAAAGAUUCAAGCAUGGUAUAAACCUCUAUCAAAUGAAUCUCAAUAAUCUUAUCAUUAUCCCCUAACCCAAUAGAUGUAAUCAAUUCCAAUGAAUCUUCCAGCCCAUUUUCUUCAUAAACACCCAAAAUCCUCUCAUCAUCUUGCAAUGUACCUAUCUUGCGUAACUGUCCUUCAAUAUCAUAUAAUCUUUUUCUUUCAUUUCUUUUAAAAUCAUCAACUUUCUUAUAUAUAAUAUUUCCAUUCUCCAAUAUACCAAUAAAACUCGCAUCAAAGGCACCUUCAUCUCACGAGAGUACCUCCUGUUUUGUACCUCCAUAAUCUCGCUUUACAGUGGCACCUCUCCAAAAUCCUUAAAUCCUUCAACAAUCUUUGGCAAUGGUUUUUCCCUCAACCUAUCUCGAUUCCGUUCAUGGUUAGGAGGUACUGUUAGAAAUUGUACAACUUUCCUCCCAUCUUCGCUCCGUACCCUUGCAUAAGCAGAACCAUCGUCAAGUACUUUUGUUUCCAUCCGUGUUGCCGUGAUAUAAGGUUGUCCUAAAAUCAACGGAUAAGACGUUGUAUCUUGAACGAAGAAAUGUUACUCCGUCGCAACAUCCCCAAUCCGAAUUUUGACAUCUGGAAAAGCUCCAUAUAAUUCGCCCCGUGAGUUAUUAGCUGCUCGUAUUGCCCAUCUAUGUUCCAUAUCAAUUGGCCAUUUUUGCUUCUUAUAAAGAUCUUUAGACAUGAGAUUUAUUUCAGAACCACCAAAGCAACUAUUGGUUCUUCUAUAUCUCCUACCUUCACCAAUACCUCAAUAGUUGCCCUUGCCCAAUGCUUUCGAGUAUAAUGGCUCAAAGUUUCCAUUCCCUUGUCACUAAAAUCUUCGAAACGUACUCGCUGAUUAUACCCAUUUUUUUCAUUUGUUGGUUGCUUGUAACCAAUAUCAACCUCUUCUUCAUCUCUACAUAUUCUUGCAUCAAUAGCAUGACUCACUGCAGUUUCGCUCAUUAAUUGCCUCUUUCGCUUAAUGCUGUCAAUGAUAACAUCAUGAAAUUCCUUCUUUGCAAUUCCCAAGACUUCUUUCAAUGUGAAUUCCACCUUAGCGUUUAAUAUACGUUCUUCCAACACCCCUUUCAAAUUUGUUGCCGCUUCAAUGUCAGAAAGUAGCUUAUAAGCAAUUGAUUUGCCCUUAUCUUUUGUCUCCAUUGUUUUUUCUCUAAGUGAUGCUGAGGUAUCCUUUACAGGCUAUUCUUGUGAAGCUGCCUCCCGAGCCUUGUCUCCUCGAGUUUGCCUCUUAAAAGAAUUUCCUUCUCUAGUAUCAUCAAAAUUUCCUCGUCUUUUUUCUUCCAUCAAGGCUUCAUGUUGGAUCUUAGCAAUAUAUGCAUGAACUGAAAGAGACUCAACAGGAUCCUCCCAACCUGUUCUUCCUCGUAUUGUAGCUGCAGUUCUCAAUAACGCUUCUCGAGGUAAUUUCCCUUCUUGCAUUGUAGAAACGGCAGAAGCCCAAAAAUCACUAGUUUCCGUACUUCCACCAAUUGCAUCAUCUACUCUAGCACCAUAACUUGCACUUUCUCGUACUACUGUUUCAUGCUCUUUUAAGUAAUCUUGAACCAAUGCUCUCAUUCCUCCCUUGUCAAAAUUGGUUUGAAGAAGAUCCUCCCUAUCUUUCAAUGCUAUCUUCCCAUCUUUCCAGCAAAUAAUUCCGUGCCAUAUCAUAUUAUUAAAUUCAUUGCAAUCUUUUCUAGUGUGUGAAGCAUCAUCACACCAAAUGCAUCUUUGUACAUAUCCUUGUUUUGAAACAUUCUUCGAAUUAUUUAUAGAAGUAUUCUCUCUAAGUCUUGCCAAUUUGAUUUGAAGAUCUCGCAUUCCUCGUAUAAUUUCUUCCAUACCCAUAUCUGCUUUCUUUGACAAGGAUGUCGAAGGUUGAACUGUAGGCAUUGUCGGUGGUGUUGUACGUACUGGAGCUUUGGGUGCUUGUACUAUUUUCGGAAUAUUACUCUUAUCCUUCCUCCUUUCUUUUUUUGUAAGCAACCCCACCGCAUCUUCAACGUUCUUCCACUUCGUUGUCAAUCCUUCAUCUUCUUCUUUGUCUUCAAGAAGGGGUUCUAAUUUCUCUUGCAAUUCUCCAUCAGCAGCUUGAAGAAAUAGAUCAACUUUGUUCGGCUCCAAUGUCAAUUUUUCUACCUUCGAUAAUUGAGAGUACUGCCUCUCAAAUUCCCUUAGUAGCUCUGUUGCUUACAAAUUCUUAUUGGGCCGUUCAAUCCAUCCCAGAAACAGCUUCUUAGUAACGCGAUCAGCAUCUUUCAAGAAAUAUUCGUCUUUCAAUGCAUUUGAAAAAUCCUCCCAUGAAUUCCCACAACGAUCCGUAAUCGAUGUAAUGUGGUCCCUAAUCUCCGGUAUCGUGGCAAGUCCAAUUAGUGCAACCAUUUUUUUCUCAGAAACCCGAUUUAAUUCCAUUUCACGAACAUAACAUCUUAAAUACCUUGAAAUAUUCCUCCCAUCAAAUUGUUCAAUUUUAUUGACCACUGCUUUCAAUGCUUUGGUUGCCAAAGCUUCCUUUCGAUCAUUGCUUUGUUGUUGCUGCAUUGACAAUGAGAAGGCUUGAAACAAACUAGCAAUAGACGGAUCCAUGUGCAUACCUUGUCCUUUAGAAGACUCCCCACUCGAAACUUCUCCCAAAAAUCCUUCAAAAAUUUUAUUUUCGUUUUCCAUAAAAAUAAAGAUAAAAUCAACCAAAAUCAAAUACCUUCCACCUCAAGCUUUCACGUCGGGUUCACCACUUAUGUCGUAUUACGUGCUUUCCUGCUCGAGAACGCGCGAGGCGUCUGGCUGUAGAAGGUAGUACGGAGAUUCGCCAAUAGUCAAGCAGUCUAUCAGUUUUAGACUGCUGGAAUAUAAACGACUGUAAGAAUACACCGUAAAUCUAUACGGAUGCCCUUUGACUGCUUGUCGAAGUCCUUUUUGCCUCAGCCGGUAGGUCUCUAGACGUUAUAGAGAACCCCAAACAACACAAUCUGCUUAUCUCCGAUACCGCUUUGUACUUAGGAUCUUGUAUCCACUAAUUGUCUUGUUAGAUUAACCCAAUAAAUUUCAUGCACUCCGCAUACUCAAUCCUAUAGACAUCCUUUUAAUUCUUCAAUCACAGACGUAACUCGAUUUCAUAAAACAGUCAAGAGUGAUUAAAUCCACUUCAUUAAAAAAAAAUCCCGAUUCACCAUUACAACACUGACUUCAGCAACGAUUGCCUCAGUCUUCUCGAAACCUUAUGAAGAAGAAAAACCCAAUUCUCUGUCUUUUCUUCCCGGAACCGAAGCAUCAAGCUCCUCUUCAAUCCCCUCAUCUUCAAAAACCUCCAAUGAAAAACCGAACUGGUAACCUUGCAAAAGCUUGAAAACUCGCUCCCCCCUCGAUUCCCCUGAUCUUUAAAAACCUCUUAUGAAAACCCGAAUUUGUAACCUUGCAAAAGCUUGAAAACUAGCUCCCUCCUCGAUUCCCCUGAUCUUCCUUAUCCUCUGAAUUUCUUCAAUCUUCUGUCUUAGAUCCGGAAUUGGCUCCCACCUCAAGCUUGGAUCCAAAAUUGGCUCUCGCCGUCAUGCUUUCUCCUCCGUUUUUACCUUUCAGAAAUCCAUUUAUCGAAAACAACGUUCUCUGAAACGGUACAGAGAACAAGACAGCCUGAAACAGAAUCGAACCCCGUAAUCGGGACCACAUUGAGUCGCCCGACCAAUUCAGGUCCUAUAUUGGGAAAGAUGCCCGUAAUAACUUGGAUGUUCCCGUAAUUGGGUCAAAUUGGUACUCGCAUCAGAUUGGCUAAGACCCGAAGUAAGACCUGGAUUUCUCGUAAUUAGACCACAUUGGGUUGACCGGCCAAUUCAGGUCUCAUAUUGGAUAAGAGGACCCAGAUUCGAUUAUCGAAAUUGGAUCCAAUUGGCUCCUCGAACCCGUCGUGUGAAUUAGUCCUUCUCUUCCUGCUGACUCCCGUUAUUGGAAUCGAAUGGAGCAUUUCAGUAUGCCCCGGCUGACUGUAACGGAGUGACUGAACCUGACCACUCAGUAUUUGUACUGGAGUUGAUCGAUGCUCCCAAUAUUCAAGGUAACUGAAUAUUAAUAAUAUUUCCCUUUUUUUUUAUUUUCACUGUAUACUCGUGUUACAACACGACACCGGUGAAUGCUGUAACUGUCAGGAAUGCAGGAAUUGGACCUAUUGUGGAUGAAUUUGCUGAGGCGUUUGUUGGAAGGGCGAUCUAUUCAAUGAGUGAUUUGUAUUCAGGUUAUGAUCAAUUUCAACUUGCCGAAGGAAGUAGAGAUAUGACAACGAUGAGGACAUCGCUUGGAUUGGUUAGAAUGUACACUCUUCCUCAAGGCGCGACCAACUCAGUUGCGCAUAUGAUGAAUGGGAUGAAUAAGAUAUUGAGAGAUUUUAUUCCGGAAAAGACUAUGCCUUUUCUGGAUGAUGUUCCUAUAAAAGGGUGCAGAGAAGGAGACAAGGAUGAAACUUUAGAUACGAGGGGGUGUCGCAGAUAUGUUGUUGAUCAUAUACAAGAUUGUGAAAAGAUUUUAACUCGGCUUGGAGAAGUUUAUCUUACAUUAUCGGGUAUGAAGUCCGUAUUUGAAGUGCGAGAGGUUGUAAUUGUUGGACAUUUAUGCGGAUCUUAUGGAAGAAAACCAGAUCCGACUAAAGUUGAUGCAAUUGGAAGGAUGAAAGAGGAUUGUGGUUCUUUAACAGAGGUUCACAGGUUUUUGGGUGCAUGUGUAUUUUAUCGAAUCUGGAUCCCUCAUUUUGCUCACAUAGCGGAUCCAUUAUAUGAACUGUUACGCAAGGGUUACCGAUUUGAAUGGAAAGAAAGGCAUAUUCAGGCAAUGCAAAGAUUGAAGAAAUUAUUGAUGUCACCUCCAAUAUUGAAGAAGGUUGAUUAUAAGUGCAAUAGACCAGUGAUUCUUACUGUAGACGCUAGUCCAUUUGCCGUUGGAUGGGCUGUGGGUCAAGAUGAUUCGAAUGGGAGUAGAUUUGCAGUUCGAUUUGGGGCUAAAGUUUUAAGUAUUCGUCAGCGUGCAUAUUCGCAAGUCAAAAGAGAACUUUGGAGAGUCGUUUCGGCUAUGAAAGCUGAAAAGGACUAUUUGAUUGGGGCAGUAGUAGUAAUUGAAACAGAUUGCUUGCCAUUGCUUGGAAUGAUUAUUAACUGUUCAACGCGAGAUAUUGCAAUGUUGAAAUGGAUUGCUUAUAUUAAGUCACUAAAUCCAGAAUUUAAGCAUAUCACUGGAAAGGACAAUUUAGUAGCAGACAUGCUAUCUCGAGCAAGAUACGAGAGGGAGGACGAAAUGGUUGAAGACAUUGAUGAUGUCAGAUUGAAAUUCUAUUCAAUAUCAAAUCUCAACAGAGAAGACAAGCUAUUUCUUGAAGAAUCUUAUGAAGGAGAAUUAUUGGAUAUUGGUCAUUAUUUGAAUACCUUGUCUAAGCAGGGGAAUUGGUCUACAGAAAAAUUCAAACAAAUAAGAAAAAAAACAUAUGGAUUUUUACUUCGAGAUGGAUUCUUAUGGAAGAGACCGAAGAAAGGAAUUGGGAUGCCACAACGAGUGAUAGGCAAAAGGGAAGAAAAACUAAAAUUAUUAAAGGAGUUUCAUGAUAGUUUAUGGGAACGGCAUAGAGGAAUCUGGGCUACUUUUGCUAAACUCAAGGAACGAUAUUGGUGGAAAAAUAUGUAUCAAGAUGUGCUCUCAUUUGUAGAGUUAUGUGAAAUCUGUCAAUCAUAUUCUAAUAUCCGACAUCGAGAUGGUCUUCAUCCUACGUAUCCUCUGACUAUUCAUUUUAAAUGGGUUGUUGAUUUGGUUAUUAUGCCGGUUGGGUUAUGGCAGAUGAGAUAUUUGAUUUAAGCUUGUGAAGAUUUAUCAAAUCAAGUAGAAGGAAGAGCAUUGAGGACAAAAUCUACAGAGGGGAUUUGUAGGUUUUUGCUUGAAGAUGUCAUUUGCAGUUACGGAUGCAUAGGAAAAAUCAGUGCAGAUCGUGGAGAAUUAAAUGCACAAGAAGCUCGUAAGUUCUUUGAAAAAUGUGGAGUUAAACUAUCACUGACUACUGCUUAUAAUCCGGAAGGGAAUGCGAAAAGCAAACGCGGUCACCCACCGAUUGUGAAAGCAUUGGUUAAAGCUUGUAAUGGGAAGGUUAAAGAGUGGCCACGGCUUUUGUCAUUUGCAUUAUGGGCUGAUCGAACAACACAUAGUUCGGUGACAGGAUAUAUGCCAGUAGAACUUAUGACAGGUCAAAAACCAAUUAUGCCGAUUGAAGAAAAGGUACUUACUUGGAGUAUGCUACCAUGGGAAGAUGGAUUGACAAGAGAAGAACUUCUGGCUAUUAGGAUUCGACAAUUGGAGCAAAGAACGAAAGAUGUCCAGAUAGCAUUGGAAAGGUUAAAAAGAGCGAGGUUACAAAACAAGGCGCGAUUCGAUAAGGAACAUCGAUUGAGACCAAAAGCAAUCGAGGAAGGUGACUGGGUACUUCUUUAUGACAAUAGUCUGGAUAAUCAACAUAGUACCUUGCGGAAAUUUUCAAAACGUUGGUUUGGACCAUAUGUUGUAACAACUGUUCAUGAUAAUGCGACUUACUCAUUUCGGGAGUUAGAUGGUACAAAAUUGAAAAUACCAAUUGCAGGGAAGCGAGUAAAAAUAUUUAAACGAAGACACGCAUAGAUGAAUAUGGAAGACCUUAAUGAAGGUAUAGAAAUUCCGUAGCAAGAAGAUGAAAGUGAUAUGGAUAAUGAAGGUGACGAAGACGAACUGGACAAAGACGUAGGGGAUAUAUUCUGAAUCAAACAGCAAUUGGGUAAAUUGGUGCAUACCGGAGGAUGUACAGGUUCAGAGGGGGUGGAUGUCGUAUUAUAAUACGAGUAUAUAGUGAUAAUAAAAAGAAAGGGAAAUAUUAUUAAUAUUCAUGUACCUCGAAUAUUGGGAGCAUCGACCAACUCCAAUACAAAUACUGAGUGGUCAGGUUCAGUCACUCUGUUACAGUCAGCCGGGGCAUACUGAAAUGCUCCGUUCGAUUCCAAUAACGGGAGUCAGCAGGAAGAGAAGGACCAAUUCACACGACGGGUUCGAGGAGCCAAUUGGAUCCAAUUUCGAUAAUCGAAUCCGGGUCCUCUUAUCCAAUAUGAGACCUGAUAUGGCCGGUCAACCCAAUGCAGUCUAAUUACGGGAAAUCCAGGUCUUACUACGGGUCUAAGCCAAUCUGACGCGAGGACCAAUUUGACCCAAUUACGGGAACAUCCAAGUUACUACGGGCAUCUUUCCCAAUAUAGGACCUGAAUUGGUUGGGCGACUCAAUGUGGUCUAAUUACGGGAAAUGCAGGUCUUACUACGGGAGAUUUUUGAAGAUCAUGGGAAUUAGAGAGAGGAGCUUCAUGCUUCGGGUCGGGAAAGGAAAGACAUAGAAUUUGGAUUUUUCUUCUUCAUAGAGUUUUGGGAAGACUGAGGCAAUCGCUGCUGAAGUCAGUGUUGUAAUGGUGAAUCGGGAUUUUUAAAUGAAGAGGGUUUGAAUACUCUUGACCGUUUUAUAAAAUCGAGUUACGUCUGUGAUUGAAGGAUUAAAGGGGUGUCUAUAGGAUUGAGUAUGCGGAGUGAAUGAAAUUUAUUGAGUUAAUCUAACAGGACAGUCAGUGGAUACAAGAUCGUAAGUACAAAGGGGUAUUGAAGAUUAACAGUUUGGGUUGUUCGGGGUUCUCUGUAACGUCUAGAGACCUAUCGGCUGGGGCAAAAUAAAAGACUUUGACAAGCAGUCGAAGAGCAUCCGUAUAGAUUUAUGGUACAUUGUUGCAGUCGUUUAUAUUCCAGCAGUCAAAAAUUGAUAGACUGCUUGACUAUUGGCAAAUCUCCAUACUACCUUCUACAGCCAGACGCCCGGCGCGUUCUCGAGGAGGAAAGCACGUAAUACGACACCGGCGCGUUCUCGAGCAGGAAAGCACGUAAUGCGACAUCGCAACCUCCAAUUUAUCAAUGGAUUAUAUUUUUCCAACCAAGAAAGACCAAGAAUAAUAGGAUUUGAUGGUGUUCUAAUAAUAUUAAAAAUAAUAUGACUACUAUGGUCUUUAAAUGUUACUUCUAUAGGUUUUGAUUCAUGGGUGAUGCUACCAGACAAUAAAAGUCGCCCAUGUAUGACCUCAACAUGAACAGGUUUUGAUUUUUGUACUAAAGGGAUCUUAUGACGCUUUGUAAAUUUUUCGUCUAAAAAACAAGCAGAUGCUCCUGAGUCUAGUAGUGCUAAGGUUCUCAGUUUUUGAGGGCCGAUAAAUAGAGGGAUUAUAAAACAAAGUGCAGGUUGGGCAGAAAGAAAGGAACCUGAUUGUUGUUGGGAUAUUUCAUUGUCCAGCCGCACGGUUCCUACUGUGGCUGGGCAUCCUCGUUUUCCUGAACAAAUACUCCCCUAGUCUUGACUAUGCCUCGAUUUUGCUUUUUGAGGCAGUUUCCGACUUUGUGGCCUUCUCCACCGCAAUACAAGCAUAAAUUUUCCUCCAUACGUCACUUUUUUUCUUCUAUAGUAAGAGAUUUGAUACGUACCGCAUCAAUUUGUAUGUCUUCCACCUCUGAAUGCGAAUUCACACUGCUUGCCGACAUAGUUAGAGCAUGGCGAAUUAUACGUUGUCUUGAGCGUUGAUCUUGGCGACGUUAGAAUAGGCGAUUAUCGUACUUCAUAGCUUGGCUAAUGGCUUCAUUGAGCGUUCGUGGAUCAGGAAGAGUUAACAGUAAAUCCUUCACAUCAUCUCUUAAACCCCAAUAGAAUUGACUCAUCAACGCUUCUUCAUCCCAAUUGAUGUCGCAUACUAAUUACCUGAAAUCUGAAGCAUAGACUGAUGUAGAACGCAUCCUUUGUCGUAGCAACCGGAUCUUUGUUGUAGCCCAUCGAACCUUAUCGUGUUCACCAAAUGCUUCCGCAAAUGCUUCCAAAAAGGUUUCGAAGUUGUUUAAUAUGGAUGAUCGUUUCUCAAACAAAAGAGCAAACCAUGAUAGAGCUUGUCCUGUAAGUAAGGUUCCAACAAGCCCAAUACGUGACUCCUCCGUUGGAUAUCGUUCGGGUUGUAAAACUGUUAUCAACCUGAUUUGAUUGACGAAUCCUCGAAACUUGGAACGUGUUCCAUCAAACUUAUCUGGAAGGCUAACUCGAGGCUCUUUAUGUUGUAGAACUAGUGGUUCUUGUCGAACCUGAGGUAAAGUUGUUUCUCCAAGUGCCGAAAUUUGAGGCUGGUGUAGUUUAGAUUGUCCUAUCCCAGAUACUCCAUCAUUAUGAAGCCUUGCCACCACUCCUUCAAUCUCUGCAGUUCUUUGUGAUAACGCAGCGAGAACAUUCAUAAUAGCAUCUAACUUAGACUCCGAACUUUCUGUCAUACUAAUGUCUUGACCUCCGGCCAUUCUAAAAGAAGGACAAAAAAUGAUCCUAUAAGAGGCAAUAUUGGUUUAUAGGAGGGUAACCCACAACCUAUAAAAUGCCUUAAGAAUUUCAAGAAGAGGGAUAAUCCACUCUCUCCAAGAAGAAUAAGACUCCAAUAUUGUAACAGAAGAAGUAUCAGUUUAGAGGAGGGUAAUCCACAACCUCUAAAAAAUGCUAGUAUACCUUCAAGUAGAGGGGUAAUUCACACUCUACUAAGAAAGAACUAGCUCUGAUAUCUCAAGUUAGUGUAGUCUCGACAAACUGUCACGGACACAAAAUACAGACUUGAAAUCUAACAAGAAGUUCAAGAAGAAGUGGGAGAACUAGAUUAAACAGAUGAGUACAAGAACAACACCAGAAAGGUAAGCUAGAACUCCAAAAGAUGUGUUGUCGAGACUGAAGAACUCUUCAGCCUCGAUCCCUAUAUAUACUCCUAUUUAGGAAGCUUCUCGAGCUACUUCUAUUAACUAGGAAGCUUCUAGAAGGUUCCAGAGACUUCCUUUCUAGAAGGUUCUAGAAACUUCUCGAGCUACUUCUAUUAACUAGGAAGCUUCUAGAAAGUUCCAGGGGAUUCCUUUCUAGAAGCUUCUAGAAACUUCUCUUCAAGAAGGUUCCAGAGACUUCAUUUCUAGAAGCUUCUAGAAACUUCUCUCUAAAAGGUUCAAGAGGCUUCUCUUCUAGAAGGUUCUAGAGGCUUGUUUUCUAGAAGGUUCUAGAAACUUCUCUCUAGAAAGUUCUAAAGAAUAUGUCCCUAACAGAGAGGCUAUAAUUUUCAAAACUUAUAUUAGUUUUAAGUUAAGAAGCUUCUAAAUUUGUCAGUUUUAGUUGGUUUUAUAUAUUUUUUAAGAUUAGCCAAUACACCAUAAGAAAUUUAUAUAUGAUGAAAAAUGUCAUCUUUUAGAAUUUGAGUUAAGCUUUCUUCAUCAAGUGAUAUAUAUAUAUAUAUAUAUAUAUAUAUAUAUAUAUAUAUAUAUGUAUAUAUAUAUAUAUAUAUAUUUUAAAUAAAGAAAAUAAAACUAUGUAAAAAAUUGCUGAAAAGUGCUUAUAUUUUAAAAAUAAAUAAAUCAGACUUAGCUUACAUUUCUAAAAUCUAUUAAAACCAAGAUAUUAAUUUUCCUAUUUGAAACUGUAUAAAUAUAAUAAUUAGUCCUAUUUUAUAUCCUACUCUAAUCACUUUGGUUAUUCAAGUAUUAAUUUUUCUUCACAAACUCAAAAUCCUUUGUAAAACUUCUUGUAGAAAUCUUUGUUUUUGGGCACAUAAUAAGGCAAUAUAUAUGAAAGGAAAAAAUUGUGAAAAAUAUUUUGAUACAAAACAAUACAAUAUACAAUGAGAAAGGACAGCAUGUGUAAAAGAGCAACAUUGUAAAAAAUAUUUUGACACAAAAAAAUACAACAUGCAAUGAAAAAGAAAAAUAUGUAUUCAAAAACACAACACUUUUAUUAUAUUAUAAAUAAUACAUAUUUAUAGUAAUUUUGGCAUGAUUUUUAGUAAUUUCACCAAACAACAAUUCUAUUAUAUUAUAAACUAGUAGAAAUCCAUGCUAUUGGUGACAAAAAAUAUUUAUUGCAACUAUUUACAAAAAAAUUCAAUUGGGAGCUUUCGAGCUCCACACUUGUUGAUCUUGUAGUACUAUUCUCAACAAUCUAUAGCAACAAUAUGUAGAAUUUGAUCUUUUAUUGAUCAAAAGUUGAGUUAUUGCUUUACUUUUGAUUAAAACAAUGAGAUAUGUAGCCAAUCAAAGAUAGUUUGUCCCCCUCGAGUUAUUUUACAUUAUAGAUAAGACCAUGUCCUUUGAAGUACAAACAAGAUUUUUUGUAGAAGUGUAGAACCAUGCCCUUUGAUGUAGGCUUCAAGGUAUAAAGACCAAGUCUAAACAAAACAACAAACAUUAUUUCAAUGAAUAUUGGAAACCUAAACAAUAAACAACAAGUAUCAUUCCAAUAAAUAAUAGGAACCCAAACAAUAAACAACAAAUAUUAUUCCAUAAAAUGAAUAGAGGAAACUCAAACAACAUGGAAAUGGGAAUAGGAGCCAAAACCCUAAAACUAAGCGAGAGGGGGGGGGGGGGGGGGGACAAACCCAAUGAGAUCGGGGAUCCCGAUCGCGUUGCUUCUUUGUCUGAUCCUGUCAGUGGUACUUGGCAGCCAGUGCUCUCCCACCUGCUGCUUCGCUUCACGUUACUUUACCUGUCCCACCACCCUCCGUUGCUUCUCUGCAUACUCACUCCUAUCCAUUGCUUUCUACAUUUCCCUCGCUGACCAAUCUCCUGUUAUACAAUCCACGGGUUCAAGUUUUUGUUGCAUGGGAGAGCGUUGAUUGUGCGGAAGAAGCCAAGAGGUUGGUCGAGGAGCUGUUUGUGAGUUUUGUCGGGUGUGUGUGUGUGAGAGAGAGAGAGAGUGAAGGGAGCUCUCUGAGAUGGAGUACAGGAAUCUGGGACGAACUGGGUUGAAGGUGAGUGUGUUGAGCUAUGGCGCAUGGGUUAGCUUCGGUAACCAGAUUGGUGUUACAGAGGCCGCGGAGAUUCUGCAGCGGUGUCGGGACGCGGGCGUGAACUUCUUCGACAAUGCUGAGGUGUAUGCUAAUGGGAAGGCGGAGGAGAUUAUGGGCGCUGCCAUCAAGCAGCUUGGGUGGAAGCGGUCGGACCUUGUGAUCUCCACCAAGCUUUUCUGGGGUGGGAAUGGCCCUAACGAUAAAGGUCUCUCUCGCAAGCACAUCAUCGAAGGCGUUAAGGUGAGUCACGUUUGGUUGUUUUUGUGUUUUUAUGUGAUAUGUUUCGUCGUGUUACUCUAUCUGGUUGCCGUUCUUUAUGGAUUUUUAGAAUCAGUGAGGUACGUUGGUGCCCCUUUUCUUGUUGGCUCGUACUUCUGCAUUAUCUUUUGUGGAAUCCAUUUCUGCAAUCCUCGUUUUCGUGGUUUCUUUUUUUUUUAUUUAAUUUCAAAACCCAUGGAUUAAACAGAACUGCUACGACGAGAUUGUUGAUAGCAGUUUUACAUGAAUGCAGGCAUCGCUGAAACGCUUGGACAUGAGUUAUGUGGAUCUGCUGUACUGCCAUCGGCCAGAUCCCUCGACUCCAAUUGAAGAGACUGUACGAGCUAUGAACUGGGUGAUUGACCAGGGGUAUGCGUUUUAUUGGGGAACAAGUGAGUGGUCUGCUCAACAAAUUACGGAGGCUUGGGAAGUUGCCGAACGGCUAGGCCUGAUUGGUCCCGCAAUGGAACAACCGGAAUACAAUUUGCUUGUGCGGGAGAAGGUAAGGCCUGUUCUUGUUAUUUGUUAGUAGAAAACCACCAUAUCCAUUACGUUACAUUUUUGUGCGCAUGGUUGAAUUCCUUCCAUUCCACUCUGAUUUUAUUUUGGUUUGUAUUUUGAAAUUAAUCUUCUAAUUUCACUUUUAGUGUGAUGGAAAGGAUUUGUUUCUCUUGUAAUAUGCGGGGGAAGUGAUGCGGUGGAUAUGUUUUCAUGAUAGGUGGAAAAGGAGUAUGCAGUACUUUACAAGAACUAUGGAGUCGGUCUUACGACAUGGAGCCCGCUUGCAUCUGGUGUGCUUACAGGAAAAUACAUGAACGGCGACAUUCCCGAGGGCAGUCGCUUUGCGCUGGAUAACUAUAAGGUUUGGGAUUAAUGAUUUUGCUAUCCUUGCAGAACUAGACCUGGUGAUUUUUUUGUCUCUUGAGUAACUCUAGGGCAGAAUAUUGAUAGCUAAUUCGUUUGUGCGCAGCAUCUGGCAACCAAGUCCCUCGUUGCUGAGACUCUCGAGAAGGUAGAAGCUCUGAAGCCGAUUGCCAAGGAGCUUGACGCUUCUUUAGCACAGUUGGCUCUAGCUUGGUGCGUCAAGAAUCCCAAUGUCAGUUCUGUUAUCAGUGGAGCCACCAAACUAGAUCAGGUACUUUUAACUAAAAGAAUACGCAUUGUAACAAUUUACUUUGGAUUUGUGAAUUUCAAUUUUUUUCUGUAAUCAAGACAGUCUGCCUUGUUUGAAACCUUAAUGAUCGUUGCAUUCAUUAUAUCUAAUCCUCAGGUAGUAAUAUGUAGUCUUUAUUAAGUUUUGGUCUUGCUAUGUGUAAGAUUGUUUUGUGGAAUGAAAGUGAAACUGCUCUUAAUAUAUAACAUUUGUCUCGCUUGUUUGUGUUGGUCAAAUGUGCAGGUGGUUGAGAAUAUGAAAGCCUUACAAGUUGUUCCCAAGCUCACUCCUGAGGUGAUGAAGAGAAUUGAUGAAGCAAUCAACUUAAAGGCAUCCAAGUAGCUUCACAGAGAAAAUGUUUCGAACCGUAGAAAUCUUAAUGUGCAUAUCAUUUUGUCCAAUCGACGGAUUAUGAUUAAACUUUAAGAGGAAUCUUGAAGAUAUUUUUUCAGUCCAUUUUAUUUGUUCGUAUCGCCUCAAACACAUAUUGAUUGCAUGUACAAUAUUUUACUAGCAUUCUUUCGGUGAAAUGGCUGGAUUUAUUAUUGAUUAGGGAAAGCUACUUUCAGAAGGAGGAACCAGGGAACGCUUCAUGAUAAUCUGGUGUAGGCAGUUUAUAUUUAUACACACAGCUAUAUAUAUAUAGAUGUGUGGGUGUGAUUGUGUCGUAUGUAUUCUGAUGUUAUUUGCAUUGGAAUGUAACGUCUUCUCAACAUAGACUAGAUUCAAUUUUGUAGUACAGUCAGAAAAGUACAACCUUAGCUGUCCUACGAUGUAUUAGACAGGAAAAUCGAUUGGAAUGUCACUUGGAAGUGGGCGAGAUACUGUGCAAUUUCAGACAUUUAUCUCUUUUUAGUGUAUACUUAAUUCUUACACGUUUCGGAUACAUGCUGUACAAUUCCUGUGCACUAGUGUCCGCCUCAAUUUAGCGUAGACAGAAGACAGCGGUCUCACACCAACCGGUAUUGCAACAAAAGAGUGUAAAAACUUCCGAAAGUCGUGUCUGUCAACCAAGUAUUUGAAAAGUUCCUCCAAAAAGCAUGAACUGGUGCCUGUUGUUGACACAGAAGCUUCCUUCAGUUGACUCACUAACUGCAGAAUAACUAACGGACUUUGCACAACCAUGCCGUGAAUGCUUUUGGGCACAUCCACAGGGACAACCCUCACUUGAGUCACUUGAACAACUGUUUUCUGAAGCUGCUCAUUUUAAUCUUCCACAUAAUUCCAACCUUACUGUUAAUUGUAGAGAUUUUUUUUUUUUGCGAACUCGCAGUGACUUGCGUGGAUUUCAAUGUGCACUUUCUGAUUUGAACAUGAGCAUUUGUAUUUGAGUCAGCUGUGGCGGCCUUGCAGUCUUUCGUCACCCAUACAACUUCGAAUCAGGUUGAUUCAAGGAUUUAGUUGGUCAUGGGCUUGCUAUCCGUGCACGCUAGUCAAUAAUCCAACUGCCUACUGAAAGUUCCGCUUGAAGGUAUUCAAGCCUACAAGUAGGGGCAACAAUCUACUGAAGCUUUUCUCUAGUUCGGGAAGCAGUCGUCCCCGCCCCAGUCUUUGCUGCAGCAUUGGAAUCUCCGCCCGUGAAUUACAUUGAGUUCUUGGCCGAGUUCUGUGAUCGUAGCUAUGGUGGUAUCACAGGGUAUGACAACGAUGGCGAAGGUUUCUUCCAUGUUCUUCACAGGGAGUGGUGGCGAGGUUUGGUCGUUUCCCCCUGCGUUUGCCACUGUUGCUAAGCAAAGGAGGCUUAGAGUGAGCGCAGUGACGAGCGCGGAUGCGAAAACCAUCUCUACGAAGACGUCAAACGCGGCAGCAAAGGUCAAAUCCAUAACGGCUCGCCAGAUUAUCGACAGCAGAGGGAAUCCCACCGUGGAGGUGGACCUUGUCACAGACCGCGUAUUCCGAUCCGCAGUUCCCAGUGGCGCAUCCACCGGCAUUUACGAGGCCCUGGAGCUUCGUGACGGAGAUAACAAGGUAUUCGGAGGCAAGGGCGUGCUCAAGGCUGUGGACAAUAUCAACAAUGUCUUGGCGAAGAAACUUGUGGGACUCGAUACUCGGUAAUGCGUACAAUUGUUGAGCGAAACUCAAGCAUCUGUUGUUUAUAAAUUCUCUCUUGCAAGAUCUCUCAUCUGACCAUGCUGAGACACUGCACCAUGUCGUAGGAACCAGAAGGAGAUUGACAAUAUCAUGCUGGAUCUUGACGGCACUCCAAACAAGGGCAAGCUCGGUGCGAACGCCAUUCUGGGCGUGUCGCUAAGCGUAUGCCGCGGAGGAGCUCAUGCGGAAGGCCUGCCCCUGUACCGACAUAUCCAGGCGAUCUCCGGCACGAAGCAACUCGUCAUGCCCGUGCCCGCUCUCAAUGUCAUCAACGGCGGGAGUCACGCAGGAAACAAACUAGCAAUGCAGGAAUUUAUGAUUCUUCCCGUGGGAGCAUCGUCGUUCAAGGAAGCCAUGCAAAUGGGCUGCGAAGGUAUUCAAUCUAGCCUAAAUCUCUCCCCACUCUUUUCUUUCCUCUCCGUCUUCUCGCUCAGAAUAACGACCCUCUUCUGUUUUUUGUUUCUUUCAUACAAAAUUUCAUAUAAGUUUUGGUUUCGGGGUUCUUUAAAUGGCAGUGUACCAGGUACUCAAAGGAAUUAUUAAGAAGAGAUAUGGGCAAGAUGCAUGCAAUGUGGGUGACGAGGGUGGCUUUGCACCCAACAUCCAAGACAACCGAGAGGGGUUGGUUCUCUUGGUGGACGCCAUCGAGAAGGCGGGGUACACAGGCAAAGUGAAGCUAGGGAUGGACGUCGCGGCUUCUGAGUUUCUGACCAAAGAAGGUCAAUACGAUCUGGACUUCAAGGAGGAACGUAACGAUGGCAGCAAGGUCCUAUCAGGGCAUGCCCUGGGGGAGCUUUACAAGGAGUUUGUGCGAGAUUUUCCCAUUGUCUCCAUCGAGGAUCCUUUCGAUCAAGACGACUGGGCUUCGUGGAGCGCACUUCAAGCAGGCCUUGAUGCGCAGCUUGUGGGUGACGAUCUCCUGGUUACGAAUCCCAAGAAAAUUGCUGAAGCUAUUUCGAAGAAGGCUUGUAAUGCCCUCUUAUUGAAGGUAUCUAAUUACAGUCUUUCACUUGGAUCGUGCACAUGUAGCUUAGGAAUCACCGUAUGAUGUUUGGUUCUCAUUCGGUGAAUUUUCAUGCAUUCAGGUGAACCAAAUUGGGUCUGUGACGGAGUCGAUUCAAGCUGCUUUGGACUCUAAGGCAGUUGGAUGGGGUGUUAUGGUCAGUCACCGAAGUGGAGAAACGGAGGAUAAUUUCAUUGCUGAUCUUUCCGUGGGUCUCGCGAGUGGUCAGGUACAUUUCUUUUGCAAUGUAAUAUCAAGCUUCGCCGAACAGUACUUCUGCGAACUGUAUGCUUUGGACCGUCAUGUGUUCCGUCUGCUCAUCAGCAUAGAAAUUCUAUGUCAUAGCGGCUGUUCUUCAUUUCUCUUCAUAAAGGUGUUGAAUCUAGACACCCAACUGUGCAGAUUAAAACUGGAGCUCCAUGUCGGAGUGAACGACUGUCCAAGUAUAAUCAGGUACAAACUCUAAUCUCUUUCUUGUUGUAUCAUUGUCCUGCUCACGUUUCUGUAUCAAUUAUUGUCCAAAUACUUCUCCAAUUUGUGCGUAAUAGAGUUGUUUAAAGUUGAAACGUUUGAUGACUCUAUGUCCUGAACAUGUUAUCCACUCGGACGUCAUGCAGUUGCUGCGAAUAGAGGAGGAGCUUGGCCGCGUUCGAUACGCAGGAGAAAGUUUCCGACAACCUCUGUAGACGAGGUGUUAUAAAUUUUAGUACUUUUGAAUGAACAAUUGAGUGUAAACCUUGUGCAAGAUUUUUAAUUCGAUGACUUGUGCCUGAUAUAACGAGAGGAUUGAGUUAUGCUUCGGUUUAGCAAUCAUACUUCAAACUAGAGUUUCUCUCCAGGUCUGUUAUUAACUACUAUUCGUAUAGAAUUCCCAGAGUUCCACUUGUCUCUUUAAAUCAGGACGGAGGGACAUGCAUGAUUCCUGUCAACACGUUAAUAAACCACUGACCACAUACGACUGAUUAGCAAACGACAGCUCGGUUCAGGCACAGUAAGUCUUGUCAUUUCAUCAUGUCUUGGUCUCCUGUUGUCAUCAAACAUUUCUGUUGAGCUCUUGGUCGUGUAAACUAUUCCCUGUCGAAUUCUGAAAGUGUGCCAAGAAAUCGGCUGGCCAUCAAGUAGGUCAUCAGGGAGUCAACUUAUAGAUACUUGCUCACAUGAGUGACCCCAUGAAUUGAAACCAAGCAGUUCUACACAAAACUGUCUGUAAGGCCUCAACAAUGACCUCAUCUCUCAAGAGCCAUCUUUGGGCAAGUUGUUGUGGGCUUGAAGUAGCUUGUUGGAUUAGAGUUGCAGCAUGUCAAAGAGACAUAGUUUGCCAAGGCCAGUGUUAUUAGGAGUGGAAGGAUGGGUUGUGGCACAACAAUUCAAGCCAAGAUUUUCUUGUCUCCAGGUUAGGAAAAGCCAUCUUGGGAUUAUUCAAUAUGGAGUUAGUUGGUGUUAAUAUUUGCUUAGUUUAAGAGGUUAAUGAGAAAGUCACUUUAAGAAGUUUGUUCUUUAUAUCAAGGGUAUAACCAAAGUUGUAACUAGAGGAAAUCAAUCAUAGGAACCAAUAAUAAAUGUAAUAUUAAAUAUUUUAAGUUGUACUUAGUAGAAAUUAAUCACAUUAUAAAGACUUAAUUUAGAAUUUGAUAUGUAUAUUUCUAUAUAUAUCUACAUAUCUAUUUAAAAGAGCAUACAAUAAAAUAAUGAGAUUCAAGUUGAAUUGAUGUUCAUACUAAAAAGAAGAUUUAGAAAGAAAAGUGGUAAGUAAAAUUUAAAAUAUAUUAGGAGCCAAAAAGAUUUAUAAAAAGAAGGAUUUUUUGUAAUGCUUUUCUUAUUAGAGAAAUUAAAUAAAAAAUGAAUAUUUAUUUUUUUAUUUUAUUUAUUUAAAAAUUUUCAAAUUAUAAAAAUCAAUCAUAAGUAAAAAAAUAUUAAAUUAAGAUUAAUUAUUUUUAAUUAUAAAAAAAUAUAAAAAUCAAAUAUAUGGUGAGAUAAUUAUAAAAAAAAAUUAAAAUAUAAGAUAAAAAUAUUUAUUUUGAAAGUACAAGAAAAAAAACUUAUUUGUACAUUUAGUUGAAUUAGCUUAAUAAUUAAUUAACUUUAUAAACUUAAAAAAAUAUUUACUUAAAGUCAAGUGAAUAAUUUAGUUAUUUUUUCCUUGAAAGUCAUUGUACUUUGUACAAAGAAUAGUUUGUAUAAGUUUAGACAAAUGAUACUUUUUACCUUAGAAGUGUCAUCAUGUUGAGUGCGGAGGGUCAAUAUUUGGCACUAAAGUCAUACAUCAAGGUCUUAACUAUAAAUCUUUGGAAUGUUCAAAAGUUGCUCACUUUUUUGAUAAUAUGACCAAAAAAAUCAAGAUCCAAGAAAGUUCCAAAUGCAUCUAUUUUUGCUACCAUUUUAACAUUCUUUUUUAUAGCAAUGUUAUAAAAAAAAUGUUAAUGCAUAUUUUGGAUCUAAUGUUUGACCAAUUUCAAUCUACUAUAACAUCUUUAAGUUCCAAUACUCUUUUCUACUUAGGCAUGUUGAAAAUCCUAAUGAGUAUUCUAUAUGAGCAUUGCAUUUGGAGAAUACUAUAUAAUAGUAAAAUUUUUAUAGUCGACUUAUUCUAUUCUAUCAAAGACAUAAAUCACAAAAAUCAAAGCAUCGAUACAUUCUUUUAUUACUUAAAAAAAUCAAAUAAUCAUUCAAAGAUAAUAUAAUAUUAAACUAGAAUGACUAUUAUUAAAAAUAAGAAUAUUAAAGGCUCUUCAAAUAAGAUUAAAGACAAGAAGGAUAUUGACAAAAGUGAAGAAGACUUCAAUCUUGCCUCUAUAUACUAACUAUAAGCUGUGUAACAAUGUUCUAUAAGACCUUUAAUAUGUGUCCAACUUGCAAGAUAUGUAUCUAACUUGCAAGAUAAGUCAUUAAUAUAUACAAUACAUAGCCAACUUAUUGGACAAUUUUUCAACCUAUUGAACACCUAUAAAUACAUAUAAGAUCAAAUCCACAUCUAUGAAGCUUCUCUAUAAGAUUUUAUCAAAUUUAUUCACUUCUAUUUACUUCUAUUUAAUUUCUUUAAUCUAGGUAAAUAUAUAUGUCCAUAACAAUUUCACAUUGAAGAAUCUCUUUGCAAAUUAAAAUAUAAUUAAGCAAGUGAUUUUAAAGAAGAAAAAGUCAUUUUUUUACUUAGAGGUAGAAAUUAGAUUUUUGAAAGAGGAGAUGAAUAAGAAAAAAAAUGGAUUUGAAAAGAAACUCUGAGUUAUUCCUCUUAUAUGUAUGUUGUCUAUACAAUCAAAGUUCUAUGAAUCAAAAAGGGAGGACUAGAGGUUAUUAUCAAAAAAGAUCAAAUUCAAUAAAGUAGAAGAUGCAUUAUAAGUCAUUAAUAAUUUACAAAAAUAAAAAUUGAGACAGCUACUACUACAAUGAUAGACUCAACUACUAGACAAUCCUAUAAAUCAGUAGAUGUGAGCAAAAGUGAUUUAAACUAUUGAUAUUUUAUUGGCUAGCUUUUUAAAAGCUUUAUAGACUUUACAUGUAUUUAUAAGUGAUUGAUAGGUUGACAAGUUGGUUACAUAUUGUACAUCCAACCACUUAUAUUACAAAUUAACCAUGUUGAGCAUAUCUUAGAAACUUAUCUUAUAAAUCACAUAUAUAGUUUAUAUAGAAGCAAGAAUAAUGUUUUCUUCAGUGUUGUUUAUGCCUUUUUUAUAUUCUAUCUUGAUUCAAGAGUUUUUAGUCUUUUUGCAUUUGGUAAUAGCCAUUCUACUUUCAAUUCUAUAUGUAUCUUUAAUUGUGUAUUUUUUCUCUUAAAGUAAUAUAAAAAUAUAUUUUUAUUUUUAGAAUUUUAUUGUAGUUCAUGUUAUUAAUAACUAAUAUCUAUUUGAAAUAUUUUCUUCUCUUUGCACAUCUUUUAAAUAAUAUAGUUCUAUUAUAAUAUCUUGAUUGAUUUUUAGAAGUAAUAAAAUUUAUUAUUUGAUAUUUUAUGAUCUUGUUUUUAUGUCUUUAAACCAACAACUUUUAUUUGAUCAAAAUUAAAAGAAUUAAAACAUGUUAUGAAAAUAAACCAUUAAUUAUAAUUAGAUACACUUUUAAACAAUCUAUGCACUUUUGUGUUUUAAAAAUUUGUCAUCUUUAUUUUUAGUGAUUUAAAAGAAAAAUUAAAAUAUUUAAUUUUAAUAGUAUUGGUUUUUUUAAACUAUAUAAGGAUUAUACACUUCAUGUCCUUUAUAUUAAGUUUGGUACUUAUAUAAUUUAGUAACUUGGUUAGGAUUUACUUAGGAUUUUUUUGGAUUUAUUUAAGUUUUGUUUAGGAUUUGAUUAGGAUUUAAUUAGGAUUUGAUUAAGAUUUAAGUUUUUUAUAGAAUUAAUUUAAGAUUUCAUUAAGAAUAAGGCUUUUAUUUAGAAUUUAGGAUUUGGUUAGAAUUUGAUUAGGAUUUGAUUUAGGAUUUAAGAUUUAAUUAAAAUUUGAUUAAGAUUGGAUUAAAGUUGGUUUAAGAUUUAAUUAGAGUUUAUUUAAGAUUUUAUUUAAAUUUAUUUAAGAUUACAUUAGAAUUUAAUUAAGAUUUAUUUAGGAUUUUUAUUUUUAAAAUUUUAAAAAUAUUUCUUUAAGAUUUUUUUUAAAGAUUUUUAUUUUAUUAUUUCUUUAGGAUUUGUUUUUAUUUUUUAUAUAUAUAUAUAUAUAUAUAUAUUUCUUUAAGGUUAAUUAUGAUUUCUUUAUGUUUAUUUUAUAAUUUUUUUAAGACUUUUAGAUUUGAUUAAUAAUUGAUUAGUAUUAUUAAGAUUUGAUUAGAAUUUGUUUAGAAUUCUAUUAGAAUUGUUAGGACCUUAUUAUUACAAAUCCAUUUUAUCUUCUAUAGUCAGGUGCCUAGUGCAUUCUUAAGCAAACUUCAUAAAAUACAACAUGUUUAUAAUUGAUUGAUAGGUUGGAAACUAUGUCAAUAAGUUGAUCACGUAUUGAACAUAUUAGCAAUUUGUGGUACUAGUUGGCCAUGUGACAAAUAUAUAUCAAACUUCUCUUAUAAGUUAGUCAAUUGUCUUAUAAGUUAGAUACGUAUUGGAGGUCCUAUAAAUUGUCGCCUCAUAGCUCCUAGUUAGAUAGUAUAUAUGGAAGCAAGAGUGAAGCCUUCUUCAUUCUUUUUAAUGCCUUUCUUGUUUUUAGACUUAUUUCAAGAGUCUCUAGUCUACUUAUCUUUGACAAUAGAUAUUUUAGUUCUAAUACUAUAUUAUUUUAAAGUAAAUAUUUACUCUUUUUGAGUGAUACAAGAGUGUAUUGAGGGUUUUAUUGUUUGUAAUUCAUGUCAUUGGUGCUUUGCUAAUUAAGCAUAUAAAUUUUUGAAUCCAAUAAAAAAUAUUUUUAAUACAAUUUGAUUUUUUUUCUUGUUGUAUUUUAUAAUUUUAUUUUAUAAAUAUCUAUUUUAAAUUUAUAUAUUAUAAUAUUAAUAUAUUUCUUUUAUAUAUAAUUUCUUGUUAUACUUAAAAUUAUCAUUUUAUUCCAAGACAAUAAACACUAUGAACAAUGUUAAAUAAAAAAGUUGAAACUAUUUAUAUGAAUAAAUAAAAAGACAAUGGAUUUUUAAUACUCUAACUUUAGUUGAAAUUUUUAUUUUUAAAAAAAUUCUUAGAGAAUUGACAAAACUUGCUAAAGGAAUUAAAAUAGAAUUAGAUUCUUAUUAAUGAAAUUAAUAUUUUUACAUUAAGAUAUAAAGUUUGAAAAAAUAUAUAUAAAUAUAAAUUAGAAGCAAUGGUUGAAUAGAAAUAAAUUAAUUGUGGAUAAUUUGGCAAAUCAAAUAUUUUCUAUGCUUAUAAAAUGUACUCAAUAUAUAUUUUAAGAAUAUAUUUUAAGAAUAUAUUUGAAAGAAUUGGUCGAAGAGAGAACUUAUGAGGAGAACAGUUAGUGGACAUAAUUCAUAAAUGUAGAGUACAGUCCACACAACUUAGUCCAUAAACUUGUGGAAGAAGUUUUAAGCUUUGCAACUGUAGAAACAUAUACAAGGUAACUGUGAACCCGAUUUUCUUCAGUUGCAUCAACUACGUGACAACUGAUGUUCUUGCACUUACAGCGUCUCCGACAAAUAUAUAAGUAAAUCAUGUCAGCUUUUGUCUAUUUGACCAGGUACAUGCUAUUUAACAGUUCAAGGUAAAUCAGAGACUGGAGGACUACAUAAAAGGGUUUCACACAAAAGAAUAGAAGGCACACAUCUAGGAGAACAUAUGGUAGAAUGUUGUGCAGAAAAGUAGUCAUUGAUCAUUAGAAACUAUGAAAAACAGUAAAACAAUGACCAAAAGCUUCCAGUGAACAAAGUCUCCGCAGCUCCGACUACGAGAAACUGUCAUAUUGAAACUCACUCCAUUAAAAAAUAAAAAUAAACAUCAAAUGGUUAUCAAAUUAAAAAAUGAUUAUAAAUAUUAUCCUUAUUGUUCCAAAAGUAGAAUCUGAGAAUCAAUCUCCUGCAAUUCUACCUUCAUGUUCUGCAAAAAUCGAGGAUCUUUCGCUAAGCUAUCUUUAAAUUUUUCAUGAUCAGUUACAGCCCUCUUGUAAGUAGCUUCCAAUUUCUGCGCAGCAAUGACAAUUAGUAAGGUCAAACCUAAACGCUUUAUGAAGACUAUAUUGCUGUGAACAUGUUCAGGUCAAGUCGGAGGAAAAAGUUACCUUCUUGGCGUUCUUUGGCAGCUCUUUCCCAGCUUUAUUAUGAGUAGGGACACCUCGCUCAUCAAAAGCGAAGUCUUUAUACUCGUCUUUAGCCUUGAAAAGUUCUUGGGGUGCUAUAGAUGAAGCUUCGAGCUUUUCAAGCAAAUUUGCCUGUUACAAAGAUCCAGACCAAAAGUAAGAGUGGAUCAAGAGGGGAACUAGAAGGUAUAGAAAACAAUAAGUUAUUGCAGAAUACUAAAUCCAGUCAAAAUGUGACCAAUGUAUACCAAGGGUGUUUCUGGAAGCUAAUGCCUAGUAUGGUAUUUAGGAAGCACAAUCAAAGCAGCAUAAAAUAAAAGCACCCAACUUAGACCACUGAGAACUGUCUGAAAAGAUGCUAUUUUCCAUCUCUGCAGAGUACCCGAGAAGGAAAGGGGAGUGAGAAACAAGACCUUUUGUAGCCUUUUCUGUCGCAAGAUCCGCAAUUUUUCCUCCUUCAACUUUAGUCUCCGUUCAUCACGUUCUCUUUGCAAUAUCGUAGGGUCAUCCAAUCUCCACGUAGAGGUGUUGCCCGCAUCCACAACACAAACUCCAGCAUCAACCAUGUCCUCAUCUCGAACUUUAUCAGUAAGUUCCAUCAAACUUCCCUGAUCACCACAUCAAAAACAUUCGUUCAUGCUGCAUAAGCACCAGAUUUGAAACUAAUUCCCAUUGUACCACCUUCUGAAAUUAGAGGAAUCAAAGGAUUCUCAAACAAUAGUAGCACAACAUUCCAUUGAAUAACUCAUAGAAAUGGAAAAAAUCUUACCCCGCCUCCUCUCUCUUGAUGUCUGAUACAGCAUAACAUUCUAGGUACAAAUUCUCACACCAGUCUUCUGAAUCAAUCAAAAAAUGCUUGAACAUCAGAGUGUGUUCCAAGGAAAACCCAAAUAAUACCUGAGAAGCACCACUUUUCACAGCGGACCUCACUUUAUCACGAAGUGACACCCAUCCCUCUACAUAAGGAGCCUGCACAUCCACCAAAACAUAACCGACUCAUAAAAAUGACCAUUUUCAACAGAAAGAAAUGGAAAGAAUGCGCUUCAUCUUUACUCAACAAAUCCUGGCUUUAAACAACCACAGCCAUGUAAGGAUAACAGGGUCCAACUGGCCUGCACGAUAGUUACUGCUAUUUCAAAAACAACUCCUGUUCCAAUGUAGCUCCUGUGAAGGUUUUCACGAAUUCUGCUGCCACAUCUUAACAAGAGUUUCAGAACCGAACACAGUUGAGAAUCUCAAAUACAUACCACGACUGUUGCAAGACUACCAGUUGAACCGACUUGGCUAGUGCUGUUGCCGAAGCCAAUCUCACAGAUCUUCGCAUCACUUAACCCUGUUAGGAUCGGUCAAGAGUCAGUCAAGCAAAUUGAUACGUUCCGGGUAAGUUCAAACAAUCCAUCAAAACAAGUCCAACCAGUCAGGCAAUUAGAGGCGUCACAAGGAAACGAUUAUACACAGAGACUGGAUCCACUAACACAUUCAGCAGGAAAAACUCGCCAAAUUCAUGACCCUGGCCACCUAUUCAUAUCCAGUUUACAUUUCUCUGCAACUGUCCUUGUCCAGCACAUUCUAAUACAAUUUGCACAAAGGAUGACAUGUUAAAACGAUGAACUUCAGUCCGCAAGCAAUGUGCGACUUACCGAACACUAUAAGGAUCUUGGUCACAAAAACUGCUGCUUUUUUCAAGAGUGAAGGUUGAGGUUUCCCGCUUGCCUGCAGUCACAGAGUUUGGAGCGAACACAACUCGAUACUACGUAUUGUUCCUGAACGUUCCGUAUUUCAUAAAGCAAUACCGCUCAGAGAGUAUAUACAGUCCGGGUGAACACGACGCAACGCGUAGAACCAUCAAAAGAAGCUCUCGACAAGCCAGGUUGACUUACCGAUUUGCACUUGUCGAUGUAAGAGUGAACGUCUCUGACCAAAGAAAGCAACUCUGAAAUAGCGCCCGCGGUAUCGAAAUUAUCUUCUAGUCGUUCCCGCACCUACAACAUGGCAACAUAAUUACCUCAUUCCGGACACCAUCAUCCAUGCAGGUAUAUCAAAUUUCUCCGAAUUGCAAGCUCAUAAUUUCCCACGUCACCACUACCCAAGAAUACAUUCAUGCAGGACAAUACUGCAAAUUUCACAACAUCCAACUUUGCGCAACCUGUAGGGGUGAAAGGUCACCUGAAUUUGCGCUUGGUCCACCCUGCUUAACAGUUGCUUCUCAUCAAGUCCUGGCCUUUGGACACCCUCCAUAGGCUGCCCACAUCAUUCAUAGAUGAUGUUUGAAUUUCAUUAACCACUCACACUUGGCCUCAACAACAGUUUCACCCUGUGGACACUAUGAAUAUUUCAUACUGCCAACCUCUGCUUUUCAGAGACACUAUACAAUAAGAUCUAUUCCAUUUACCAGCACAUUCAAAAACAUGCAACCUACUACAUGGAGCCUCAAAAUGACCGGAACUUUUCUAAAAGGCUUUGGCGUACAAUCAAAUCCUGCGGAGCUAAGGAAUGCACGUACAUGCUGCCUCAAAUGCGACUCCACAUUGGCGAAGAAGUUCUUCAACUGCUUCUCUUUCCCCAGAGCUUCGUUCACAACAGUUGUGCUGAAAUUGAUUGACUGCAAAAAUCGGAUACGAGUAUCAAUGUGCAUACAAUCAGCAUCCGUCCGCCCACAAAUAUAGCCUUUUCACACUUUCAAACACUCCACACUCUUCUGCCAUAUUUAUCAAUACGAGGAAAAUUAAAGGACAAGCAUCUUCAUCGAAAGACCGCAUAAGCAAUGCCACCCGCACACAUUAGGCAGUAGUGAUAACCUUGUCCCAGCUUUGGAUGACAAAAAGCGUACGUAGCUGCCUCGCUGUAUACAUUGUCAAUGCCUGCUCCCCGAAACAUCACUCUAAGGUUAAUACUCGUACGCAUCAACAAUCCGGGGAAAUGUCACUUCAUCACAAAUACUUGUACAUCAGUGGUCAACGACGCAGAUCUCAAGAUCAUUUAACUGCAACAAACCAGCAACUAAGCACAUAUAAUAAUCCCUUACCGUCUUGAUUGUUAUGAAGUUCUUCAAAGACUUUGACAUCUUCAAGCCAUCGAUGGACAGAUGUCCAGAAUGAAAGAAGUAUCUGACCCACUGUGUUCACAACAGUCAGACACAAGGCUGUCAAGCCUCUGACACAGUACUCCGACCCAGGGACACGGCACCUCAAAAUCCUAACAGCUUCCAAAAAACCUUCACGAAGAAUGAAACCGAAUGAAAUGAUACUCAACAAAAAAGAGUCCUCAACAGCUGCAAAUACAAGCAGAUAUCACAGAUUCACAGGCUGUAACACAAUCACUUCAUGAACAAAACACAUUGACGAAGAAAACCAUUUCAAAACAUACUCAGUUGUACAAACCGAAAAAUACAGCACAUACUUCAUGGCAGUGGAAGUAUGCCUCCGAUUGAGCCAGCUCAUUGUCAUGAUGUGGAAACUGCAAAUCACUACAAAAGACAAGGCAAUGACAAGAUUCAACAUCUGCUUACCCGAAUGAUGAUAAAGAUAUCAAUAACACAAAAAAACAGAAACAUAUAUAUAUAUAUAUAUAUAUAUAUAUAUAUAUAUAUAUAUAUGAAAAACUGUCAAAUGAAAACAUACAAUAAGAUCGCUUUCAUCCACGUAAAGCAGAAAAACCAGAUGUAAGUCACUCACUGUCCUCCAGUAUGGAUAUCUAUGCUAUCACCCAGUAUGUCACUGGCCAUUGCCGAACACUCAAUGUGCCAGCCUGGACGUCCCGGGCCCCAAGGAGAAUCCCAUGAAGGUUCUCCAGGCUUACUUUUCUGGGCCAUCCAUAUGUUACAACAUCGCGUCAACAAACGGUCACACAUACAAGCUGACAAAUCCAUGCUGCACAUCAUUACAUAGCUCCUUAUCAAUAUAGAUCAAAGCAAUCAAACUCCUCUCAUUUCUCCCUACGUGACGUCCAGUUUGAGACCACUCACCUUCCACAAGGCGAAAUCGCAGCUGGUUCUCUUUUCAGAAGUGUCAAAAUUCGACUCACUCUCCGAAGCCAACAUUGAGCUGCCUACAGCAGCUGGGUUCAAUUUUCCAUAGCGGUGGCCUGCCUCUCUGCAAAAGAAAAACGGUCACAUUUAGAUUCUUUGCGUUUCUCUGUCCUUCACAUGCCGUGUUUUGCACCAACCCUUGUAACGAUAACAAGAAGGAGAAACAAAAAUAACAAAAAGAAACAGAUUAGCAUGCAAAAUCGCACCAUAAAUCUGCCAUGAUAUCAAAUCUGCUCCUUCAAUCUAUUACUCUUUUACCUCACCCAACUAAACCGAAGCCAUAGGACACUUGACAUGAGAAGCAGGAUGACGUACCUGAAAGCUCGCGUAUCGAAAUACACGCUCUCGUUCGCCACAUAAGCAAAUUUGUUCGCCACAAUGACUUCCACGUAUUCAACAAUUUUAUCCAUAUACCUGCCACAGACAGCGCCCGUAUCAUUGUGCCUCUGCGACUUGCGAUCGACUCUUGCGACUAAGUUCAUCACUCAUACCGUCAGAUCCUGAUGCGCCUCUGCAGACACAAGAUUACAUGUCCUCCGAUAAGAUCAAAGGAGGAAAAAUCUCGCUGUUCAUGGAACUACACAAGACCCUUACUCCGCAUGACGAUACUAACUCUGUAAACCUCCCAAACAUGCGAAAGGCAACUCCCUGGAUCACCUUCUCAACAAUCACUGCCAAUAAAUAACUCGUCGGAACAUACAUAAGUUCAUAUACCCACGCAAGUUAGGUACACGGUUUCUCGGCAUCCCCUGGCUUACUCCAACGAUUGGAUCAGAUCAUACUUACUCAGUCACUCUCACAAGGACGUCAGGAUAGCCGCACCCCAAGGCACUCAUAUCAUCCCAAAACUCAUUUUCAUACCUGCACACCCCCAAAAAGCAGUACUUGUCACUUGCCAAACUCAGAGGUCCCACAUAUAAGGCACCCCUCCAACUAGCGAUAUGUGGGUUCACAUGAAAAGUGAAGCUCACACAGUUUCAAGGCGCCCCAAAUGCUACUAUCUGAGAUACGCGUAAUGCACCGAAAAGGGAAACCACGUCCUUUGCAUCACAUACUCAUGGACUGAACACCACAGCAUUCAGCUUUGUAAACUUCGAAUUGAAACCAAGCCCAUGAGCGAAUGCAUUACUUCAGUGUGUGACUUUUGUAAAUGGCGUGAUCCGUUACUGUUGCCCCUAGCUUAGCAUCCAAUUGAGAUGCCAAAUUAUCAGCUGCGUUCUGCCCUAAGAGCAUGUCAAUUCCUUCCUGUCCUCCUAAUUUCUUCGCUUCUUCUUUGAGAGCUUGCAGCAAAUCCCUUGCCUCUAUGAUCUUGGUAACUUUUAGCUGCUCCUGCUUCACCCUCUAUAACACGCGGACGCAGUAGAAUUACGUCUCACAUGACUAGAACUGAAAUGCACCGACUUGGAAGACUGCCAAAGUGACAAACGCUUCUGCUCGGUUCACCUCUCUAGCAAAGAAACACCGUAGAUACUUUUACGUACACAGUACCGUAGCUUCGAUCUGAUUAUUGCAAGAAGUGCAACAUUCAGAAUUGUUCACGUUUGCUGUACUUAGAAAUUCAAGUGCAUAUCACUUACAUCUGCUAACUCAUCUUUUUGUCUCGACAAGGUGGCCUUAGCAAAUUCCUCUCCCGUCUCCGAGAUCUGCAACAAAGCCCAUCCGGGAAAAUGAUGAGUCGGGAGUGACGCAAUGUCAGAAGCGGUUAUGGAGUACAUAAUGCCACUUCAAUAUCCAAUUCGAUGUUGCUUCUCAGGUGUAACCAGGAUACAUGACAGGCAGAAGGGAGUGAACCUUCUUCUGCUGCUUGCCCAGUUCCUCCUCCACAGCUCUUUCCAAGUCUUCAAUCACCUGAGUCCCCAUCAACCCCUUAGACAUGGACAACACAAACACGCACAAGACCACUCACUUCAACAGUAGUGCACGGCGCGUGAUUCCCAGGAAAUCUACGCACCUUGUUCAGAUCAGUUGCAGCACUGCGAUACUGGUCCAUCAAAUGAUUUCUCCUCGCACGGUUGAUAAUCUUGUCAUCCACGUCGGUGAUGUUCAUUACGUACUUCACAUCGUAGUGGAAGUAAUCCUGCCGUUGCACAGCAACCGGAUAAGCGAGUCUUGCCACGAACACUAACAACUACCCACAAAACCUUCUAAAGCAGGACUGCAAUCAUACCUCAAGUAUUCAACGUAUGAUAUCAAACGUGACAUAAUUCCUGGCGUGUCCGAUGUGGGACGAGUCGUACACAGUUGGCCCGCAAAUAUACCAAGUCACUGCCACACAAACCAGGCCCUCCCAUCAAAUCGUCGAAAUGAUACAACUUCUAAACCCUGAGCCCUAAUAAUUUCGCCAGGGUCCCCAACUCCUCGAACCCACGAAACUAACCACCUCCUCGAGCGAGCUCCUCAAUGCACCAGCGAUCAAGACGUACUCCACCCCAAAUCACCACCUCCCACUCACCGUUUCUAGAUCCGUCCUUAGUGACGAAUGGCACUUUCUCCUUAGCCAAAGAGUUGUUAACCAUCAAUCCUCUCCUCUCUCCUACAGCCGAAGCGCCAGCAGCAGCUGCCAUUGUUCUCGACACACAAUCGUCAAUGCCUCACUCGGAGGCGCGAGUCUGCAACUAAAGACUCAUGCGCGCGCAGAGUCACCAGGAGAAGAGUUAGAAACGAGACUUUGGGGAUGAAGUGCUGAGAGGUGAAGGGGUGGUAAGCAUCAAACUGUUGGGAACCGAUAGACUCUGGGUUCAGCGACAAAAGGGACAGCAAUCACGACAGUGCUCUAAACACACCCCGAAAUUGCGUUUUCGAGUUCUGCAACGAAAGGGGUGGGUGCCCACAAAGCAGUGCCGUGGGGAUGACGUUGGCGAUAAAUUCUUCCUCCAGUCACGCCCCGCGAUUCAUGAUCUGAAACCAACUUGCAAGCAGACAUUUGUAUGAAUGUUUUCAUCAAGUAAAGAAAUUGAUACCAAAGUACACAUAAAUGUAUAAAAUAAAAUAACAAGGACUUUGCCGGUGGAAAGAAUAUAUCAUUGGCUGGAGUUAGAUUUAAGUUCCUUUAACUGACGUUUCGGGUAUACUGGAACAAAUUCAUCAUGUUUGUUGCAUUAGAGUAGCAGUCACUGAAACUGGAAAGUUAAAAAGCAACUCGUUCUCGAAUGGGAAAUAUAGAGUUAUAGACAUUUUUCCCCUGAGGGAUUUUAUGUAUAUUGUGUGUCAAUUGAAUGACCUCACAAAGUCGUAAUACAAUUGGGAUCCUGACGUUGUUGCGAGUGUCAGAAUAACUGACACAGAAGUCAAGUGCUACCCUGACGCCAAGACUUUGCAGACGUGUACCCAAAGUCCACUCACUCACUCAUUCAUUCAUUUAUAUAGAGAGGCUUGGGCAAAAUUGUCUUGGAUUUCGCAACAAAGUGGGAAUAAAAUCAAAGAUAGAGUCAACGAACAGAUGUUUUGUCGAGGUCUGAGCACUGGUGGUCAGUUGACUUCGGUGGUCUGUGUCGGUGGAUUCGAUCUCUGAAUUGGACUUUCUCAACCCCUUCCCCACAGAAGAGUAUGCCGCAAAUUUGCGAAGUGCAAACUUUGGUUGUGUGUCUUCGGCGCCUUCAUAGGAGACUGAGUGGAUGGGCAUGAGCUGGACUUGGUGAGGUUGUUGGUUAAUAAUUUGGUAGCUUGACAUUUCAUGGCGUUGGCAUUUAUCUGAUACUAGGUAGACGUCAAGGGACACUGAAGGAAGGACACAUAAUAAUAAUAAUAAUAAUAAAAUCAUGCUAUCAAGGAUGAUGUUGUGCGAUGAGGGUGUAAUUUUGAUUGCAUGAUUCACCAUUCUUUGUACUUACCAACAUCAUAUUUCGACCUCUGAUCACACCAAUUGUAUUAAUGUACGCCUUACCUAUUUAUUUGAUGAUUAAGUUGUUAUGUAUAAGUGUAUAUAAUUAAGUUGUUGUGUAGGACUGUGUGUUUCCAUCCAAUAUUAAUUCCAUAUCUCUUUUCUGAUAUGUUUCUUAUCGUCCAUGAAUAGUCUCACCUAUUGGUAGUUGUUUAUAUCUAUUCUUUCAGUAGAAAUUGUGUAUAUUUAUUAUAAAAAAAAUUCAUGUUAGUUGUUGUGUGUGUUUGUUGCUUUAAAUUCUUUCUUUAAAAAUAUUAAUAUUUCUUUGACUCUUGCUGCCCAUAAACAAAUGCUUCUUUAUAAUUAAAAUAAUAUAAUUAAAUUUCUUAUUAAAAUAAGAUGAUACAAGUUAAUUUUAAAAAUCUAAGAAUUUUAAUAAUAUUCUAAUUUAAUACACACACACACACACACACAUAUAUAUAUAUAUAUAUAUAUAUAGAUAGAUGUGUGUAUUAACUUUAUCUAAUAUAAGUGUUAUCAUUAUUAUUUAUCUCCAUACUAUGUAUUAUAUUAUUUUAUUUUUCUAAUAAAAAAUAUAUAGUAAUAAAAAAAAUAUCAAUUUUUUUCUGCAAUAUUUACCAACACAUAAGUUAAUGUUUAGUUUUUUAUCUUAUUAAAUAUGAAUUUACUACAUAAUAGUGAAUAGAUUUUUUUGCACAAAUGUUUAAAACAUAAUAGUGCCCUAUAUAUAUAUAUAUAUAUAAUUAUAUUUUUUAAUUUUUAAUUUAUAAAUAUAGAUUUGAUUUUUUUAUUGUUAUAAAAAUAAUUUAAAAUUAAUUUAUGUAUAUGUUUUCAAUUCAAUAUUUUUAAGAAAAUUUUAAUUUUUUUUAGAAUACUAAAUUUUAAGGAUCUUUUUUAAUUUCACUUAUAUAUAUAUAUAUAUAUAUAUAUAUAUAUAUAUAUAUAUUCUAUUUGGGCUUUAAUAUCUCUUAAAGUCCUAUAAUUUAAUUGAUCUUUGUAUUAUUAUUUGUAAUAUCUGAUGAAUGUCCUUAAUAUAAAUAAAGAGUUGUAUUUUUUUAGAUAUAUUAAUUUAUCAUAUUUAGGAUUUAAGAUUUAUAUAUUAUAGAAUAAAUUAUAGAAUAAUAGAUAAAUUUGAUUAAUGUAUGAUUAAAAAAUAUACUUUAAAUCAAUUUUUUAAAUCUUAAGUAUUAUUAUAAGUAAAAUUUGAUUAUACAUAUAAGAUCUGUCUAAUAUAAUCAAUAUCCUUCAUUCUUUAUGCAUAUUUUUUUAAAAGAUUUUUAUAUAAAUUUUCUUUAAAAUACUUACUUAAAACUAUUUGGAAGAAGAUACAUAAAUUCAUAGAAUUUGUAUCAAAAAGAAAGUGACAAAAUAGAAAAAAAUAUGUAUAUUCAAGGAAGAACUAGAAUGGCUAUUGCCAAAGACUAGAAAACAUAAGACUCUUUAAACUAGACUAAAAACAAGAAAGGAGUUGACAAGAGUGAGGAAGGCCCCACUCUUGCCUCUAUAUAUACUACUUAACUAAGAAAUACAUAGCAAUAUGCUAUAGAACCUCUAAUACGCGUCCAACAUGCAAAACACAUGUCUAAUUUACAAGGCAAGUUUCAUAGGUGUGCACCAUAUGUCCAAGUUUUACUACAAGUGGUCAACAUGUCAACAUGUGGCCUCUUUGUUGGCUAAGUUUUCAACCUACUAAUCACCUAUAGACAUGUAUAAAGGCAAAGCAAUGUCUAUAAAGCUUCUAAGAAGCUUUCUAUAAGAUAUUAUUAUAUUUAUCUACUUUGACUUAUUUCUACUUAUUCUUAUUAUCUAGAUAAUUAUCAAAAUAAAUAUAUAUGUCCGUGACAUUAUCCCCCCCCUCUAGGAAUGAGUUUCAUAAGGAGUAAAGAUUACAUGUUGAUGAAGUCGAAGAUGUGCAAAACUAUAUUUGCCACGUAUUGAGAUCUUUGUUGCCUUCAAAGGUAGUUGAUAGGUCCUUUCAAUCAUCCAUAAUAUCCCAUACUAGAGCGAGAAGACUAUCCUAAUAUUUCAUCAUUAUUGAGGCCUUCAUAACUUCCUUCAAACAAAAUAUUAGUAAUACCAUCAAGAGUGGUUUCUAUCUCCAAAAGUAUCACUAAACACUAGGAGUUCCUUCUAAGGUCGUCGUACCAAACGUUUUGUAUCUUGCCAUCUAUUUAAAAAAAAAAUGUUAUUCUUGAAGGUCUUCAUCUCAAUUUUUCCAUCUCAAAGGUUGUGAUAGUCGCAAUGUCUCGUCUGGUAGCUCAACAAAUGAGAGCUCUUGAAUUGAAUCUACUUAUUGUUGAUUCUCUAUCUCCUAAGUACUAAAAAAUUCAAAGAAAAAAUGAGACAAGAUAGAAUGAAAUCUCCAUUGGGCUUACUUUAUUUUAUAGCAAAGAAUUUCUUGACUCUUCAUCUUAGUUUUGAUGGAUGUCAUUGAUGAAAAGCUUUAACUUUGGGUGAUGCAUUUUCUAGAUUCUUUGAUGGCUCCCAUGCACAUUCAUUAAUGUCAUAUCUAUGCCAAUGUACUAGAUAUUCUAACCUAUUUUGGUACCAACUUGAAUCUAAGACUUCUUCCACCUCAAAUUCUUUAUUAUUAUCCAGUCUAUAGGAGGUGGUGGCAUUUGUCUCCUUCCUUAUAUAUCCAUUGUCUUGUAUGGCUUAUGUAAAGACACAUGAAACACAAGAUGGAUUUUCAUAGACUCUGGUAGAUGUAAUCGAUAAGCAACUGGAUUGAUCUAUUCACAAAUGAGAAAUAGUCCAAGUCUAUGAUAAUCCAGCUUGUCACAAGGAUGAAUAGUUUUAAUGUUGUGAUAAAGUAACCAUACCUUAUCUCCUACAUGGAAUUGAGGUUAUUCAUUGUGAUAGACUUAUGUGUUAGCUUUUUGUCUUUCUUGAGCUUCCUUUAAUUAUGCCUUUAUUAUUACAUGUAGCUCUGACAAUCAAUUUGUGGUAUCUUUUGCUGUAGGAUUAUUAACUUUUAAAAAGUCAAAAGUGUCAAAUUAUGGAUGAUAACCAUAAUUGGCAAAGAAAGGUGUUUGUUGAAUAGAAGAAUGUAUCAAAUUAUUAUAAGAAAACUUUGCCAAUAGCAAAAGAGUUGUCUAAUCAUCUUGUUGAUAGUUGAUAGAACACUUCAAAUAUUAUUCUAAAACUUGAUUUACCCAUUCUGUAUGUCCAUCAGUUUGAAGGUGGAAAGCUGAAGAUAGUUUUAUAUUUACCUUUAAUAUCUUAAAAAAGGUUUUCCAAAAUCUCAAUAAAAAUUAUGUUCCUCUAUCUAAUAUAAUAUCCCUUGGUAAUCCAUGAUAGCAAUAGAUAUUGUCAAGGAAGAAUUUAAUUGUUUCUUCACUUGUGAUGUAUUUUGUACAUGGUACAAAAUGUGCCAUCUUGUUGAAACAAUCUAUAAUCACGAAUAUAGAAUCAUAUGAAUUUGAAAUUAGAAGAUUCGAGAUAAAAUCUAUAGAAAUAGAAGACGAUGGUUGUUCUAGUAUAGAUCGACCUAUCAUAGCAUUGGCGAGGCCAUGAAGGAGAAACCUCUGCUUCUGCCACUUGUUUUGCAGCAAUAUCCAUCAAAGCUUCAGACAUCCAAUGGCUCCUCUUCAAUAUAUGUGGGACUCAGCUCCUCCUUCCACACUCUUCUCGACCCAAUCAUCGCCUUUGUGGGUUUUAUCACUGCUAGAUCCUUUCACUCCGCACUUUGGGCCCAUCCCAUGCCCAAUUUGUGGAAUAAUCCAAUUCAUCGAAUUUGCACUUCCCACACAGCAAUUGCAAUGCAAUGGUGCUCGAUUCUGCACUAUAAAUCCACAAAAGUGUUACAAGCUUCUUUCACACAUUGUCGACAUUGUUUCUAUUUUUUUUUUAAUUAGUUAGUUUGUUUGUUUAUUAUUGGUUAAAUUAAUGUCAAUUUUCGUGCUAAAUUUUUCAAAUAAAAGUAAAAUUUUACAAUUUAUAUAUAGAUUGCAAUUCAAUCAAAAAAGAAAAUAGGCUACCAUUAAAUAUAAUCUAGUUAUAAUUUAGUAAUUUAUCAAGUAGAAGAAUGGUUAUAUUUUUAAUUUUAAAAAUAUUUUUUAAUUGUAUUAUUUAGUAAGAUUAUUUUUAAGUUGUAUUUCUGAUAUUUAGAAAACUUUUUUUAAAAAUUCUUAUGGAGAUCUUAAAUAAAAUGUGGUUUAUUUCAUAUACUUUGUAAGCUAUAUGGCAUGCAUUUCAAGUUAAUUAAAAAUUAACCUUUUGAAUAUUAAUAUUUUAUUUAUUUUUUAAAAAAAUAAAUAAAAAUCCAAUAUUAAAAUUUUAGCAUAUGAUUUUAUAUAUAUAUAUAUAUAUAUAUAUAUAUAUUUAUAUUAGAAUAAUUUUUUGAUUUAAUCAAAAUCUUUACAAAUUGAAAGAAACCUUCAUGUGCAUUUUGUCCACAUAUUAAAAAUAAUUAACUCUUAUUAUUAAAUCCAUAAUAAGUCCUUAUAUUGUGCAAAUUACAAUUGUAAACUUUAAGUUUGUAUUCCUAAUUGAAGAAUAUUUGAUAAAUGCAAAAAAAUCUAAAAUAAACUUGUAAUAGAAAAAUAUGUAUUUUUUAUAAUUACAAAAGAAUAUUAUGUGUAUCACAUGAUCUAAUUACUGUUUUUUUUAAAGUCUACCUAUCAACAUCUUAAAAUAAUUUUACAGAAAAUAUAAAUUAAUUCAUACUAAUCAUUUAUUUAUUUGUUUGACAUGAGUAUCAAGUAUAAAUUUUGCAUUAUUAACAAGUAUGAUUUUUCUAUUAUUAAUUUUAUAUAUCAAUUUUUAUUUUAUAGUUUAAUAAUUCUUUUUGUUUAUAUUAAUUAAAUUUUUUGAAUACAACAUGGAUUUUUUUUAUAAUCAUCUUAAUUCAUUAUAUUGGAUAAAUGCUAUUAUAAUUUAUAUGUAUAUAUAUAUAUAUAUAUAUAUAUAGAGGGAGAGAGAUAGAUGUUCCUUGGUUAUUUGAUAUUCCAUAAUUGAUACUCUUUACAAACCUUAAAAUAUUUGCUAGAGCAAAGAUUUGCUCUAGGUUGUAAAUUUAUAAUUCCUUAACUUAUAACAUUGCAUGACUUCUAAAAAUUGGUAUCUACCAAAGUAAUAAAUUAAUAUAUAUAUAUAUAUAUAUAUAUUUAAAAAUUAUUUAUGAUUUUAUAAACUUAAAAUAAAUACUCAUUUUUUAAUCUUUUAUAAUAUUUUUUUAUAAAAUAUAUAUAUAUAUAUAUAUAUAUAUUUAUUAUUUAUUUUUUUUGAUAUGAAGAAAAAAAUAUUAAAGUUCAAUACAAAAUUAUCAUAGGAAUUAUAAGGAUUAUUAACCAAAUCAUUUUGAUACAUGAAAUACUCACAUGUAUAUAUAUAUAUAUAUAUAUAUAUAUAUAAGAUAUUGCUAAUGCUACCAUAAUUUUUUUUACUACCACUACAAACCACCAUAUACUAUAUAUUGUACACCAAGCUGCACUUUUCUUAAUUAAAAGCAUUGUUUCAAAAGUUGACUAUACUAGCCAAUGACUCUUAAUUACUUCCAUUGGUUGCCACAUCCUUGAUGCUUGUGAUAAAAGCAAGGAGUUUGGCAAGUAUGGACAUGGAAGUAACAAUCGUUUCUAUGUUGGUGGCUAUUUAUAUAAGAAGAUUUAUCUUGGCGCCAAGACAAAUUUGUUUGUUAUUAGAAUCAAUACAUUGCUCCCACCUUUGCAUUUUUUAUUUUUUUAUUUUUUUAUUGUGCUUGAAGGUAUACAUGUUGGAAUUGGUUGAUAUUUAGCAGCCAACAUGAAUAAUUAAGAUUUUCAAACUAGUACAAUCAAUUUUGGUACAAUGUCACUAGUUGAAAAAAUUGCAUUAUGGUGUGUGACACAAGGUCACUGGCAAGUUAUGAUAGUAGUAGCAGAAAAACUUGGUGGUAGUAGCUAUAAUAUAUAAAUAUAUAAAUAAAUGAGUAAACUCUAAUUAAUAAUAGCUAAUUAUCCUUAAUAUUUUAAAAACCUAUGUUUAUAAAAUAAUUAUUUCAAUAAAUUUCUUUAUUUUCAAAUCAAAAUUAAUAUGAUUUUAAUUAUGAAUGUAAUUUUUAUUAAUAAAAAAUACCUUGAUAAUUUUUAUUUUUUAUAUGAUAGGCUCUCUUUUGAAAUUAAGUUGAAUCUUUUUUGACGGCUAUUUAAUCUUAUUGUAUUACAAACUUACAAAGAUAUUUUCAUGGCUCAACAUUGAUUUAGUAGAAGGUUGGAAUUUCUUUUUUUACAUAUAUCUGGAUGAGGCAAAUAUGAGAGACAAUCAAAGAAUUUGUAACAUCAUGUGCUACACAAGUCACAAUAAAAGUAAAUCCUCAACAUUUUCUUUUUCAGUGUUCACAACCAUUAUCUAAUUGAAAAAAAAUGCAGUCUUUAGAUUUUAGUAAGUAUUGUAUCACAUUUCUCUCGAUAAUAUUUUAAAAAUCCCUUUUUGUGUUUAUAGACACAUAACUACAAGCAUCGCUAGCUCUCACGUUAUCAUACGCUAAUUCCGUCUUCCCACUACAUUUCUGUUACAAUCCUGCUAAAACUUUGUGAUAACUUUUCCAAAAGUUUUUAUACUCAUUGUAAGUAAUUUCAUGCCAUUUUCUUCUUGCCUUAAAAACUUUAAAAAGUGAUUCAUGUGAAACCCCAUAUACAUAUCAAAAACAUUCCAUUGCUACGUUUACUGAUUAAACUAGACACCGAAAAAUAUGUACACACACACACAUGUAUAUGUAUCUACAAAAAUAGUAGAAUCACAGUGAAUUGUAGUACCAAGGGAAGAAGACCACAUCAAGUCAGUCUGAUAGUAAAUCAUGUGUACACACGAGCUUCUAUAACACUGCAUUUCAGCACCGGAAGGUUCACCAAACUCUUCACCACGCUGAUAAACAGCUUCUGCUAGCCUCAUGUCUCACACAAUAUCACAACGCUGAAUUUGAGAAAUGCUGUAUUCUUCAGCAAACUGAUCGACAUCAGAUUGAUGAGUUCUAACAAACGACGAUGGUGAUGAAGUCUCGUGAACGUGGGUACUCUGAGAGGUAAGAACCUGGUAUUCUGUCUAGAUGAUGGUGUGGUAGCUCCACGUCGGGGCAGUUCAAAACCUGUUCGCAACCUGCUUCGUGCUGUUGCAAAAUCAGCUCAGUUUAUCCUGGUCUAGUACUCUGAUCUUUGGGUUUUUGCACUGAACUUAGUGGUGCAUGUUGCGUUGUGAAGGUGGUGGAGAUAACUUCCUUCACUUUUUUCCCCUGUGGGUGUUAGAGACAGCUUCGGAAGAGCUCCAUAAACGACGUCCAUUGUCGAGCAAUACCGACAAAAUGUUCCCGUCAGACAGGGGGUUGCAUUAUUGGAUUGCAUUCUGGAUGACAAUAAACGACAAUGCUAACAUACAUGCAGUGCGGAAAAUCAGUUUUUGACCAGAUUUAAUUGUUCUUCAUUGCAUGGUUGGUAACUCUACACAUCAGGCUCUUGAUUUCUGUCCUGUCUCUCAACCAAUUGUGUGUAAAACCAUUGACACUUCUCUACAGAACUCGUAAAUGUUGGUUCGCGGCUUCAGCUAGCCUUCGGUCCUUACAUAGCGGCUCGUUAGCUUGUCUAUCUCUACACGGUUCCCAGCUCAAAAUUUGUGAAUGCUGGAUACUUUGUCUCUAAAUCCCUGCCAGCGAGGAUGAUCAUGUUCCCCAAUUGCUCUGAGGGAGAAGAAAAAUUAAAAAACAAAAAAAGAAUUGGCAGCAGAAAGUCAAGUCGGUAUUUUCGUGUCUUGCAGCAGUUUUCCCGAAAGGACCUUUACAAUUCAGGAUAACCAAAGAAUGAGAGCGCUUCGAUCGCGGCGAAUCAGCAAAGGGAUGAAGAUGGAAUUUAGUGCACCCUGAUUUUGUGUGAAAUUCUGGUUGAGAGAUCACGCUCCUGCACUUGCACUUGGAGCCCAUUGCUGAACUUGGGGACGGGGAAGAAGGAAACCGUCUCCUCACCACAACUCUUCAAGUCGAACUUCGUCACCAGGUGGUGCAGAAAAAUGCAGAUCUCGGCGCGCGCGAGCUCAGCUCCCGGGCAGUACCUCGGGCCGCCUCCGAACCCCAGCAAUGGCAACUUCUUAGCUGGGUUCAUCACUUCCUGCUCGUGGCGCCAUGGAUUGAACUCAGACGGGCGGUCGAACAAUGCGGGGUCGUGAUGCGCUUCUCGAAUUGCGCACACCGUCUUCCAGCCCUUAGGAAUCACGUACCCAUUCAACUGGACAUCCUCCGUUGCUUCACGCCACAGCAAGGCGACGGGAUUCGCAAGCCGCAACGUCUCGGUGAUGACCGACUGCGUGAAUCGCAUGUUUUUGUAAUCGUCCCAUGUCAGGCUCCCGCCUUCGAAUUUCGAGAUUCGAAUGUUCUCAUGCUCGGCCCGGAGCUCAUUCAGGACGCGGGGAUUAUCCAUGAUGUAUUUCACGGCGAACAGCAUCGCACUUGCGGCGGUCUCGUGGCCGGCGAAUAGCAUCCCCAGUACGUGACACCGAGUCUUCUCGAGCAGCAACUCCUCGGUGGUUCCAGGUAAGUUUUCUUUCCGCAUGUAGUCCAUGUAAUCGGCGUACUGGUCUUCGUCUCCAACUGGCCGCGCCUGGCUCACCACGUCUCGCUCGAGCGUCUCUAUGAUGCGCGCGCGCGCUUCGAGCCCUUUCCUGUAGUUGGUCCCAGGGAGAUUGAUUGGCAGCGCAAACAGCCCCUCCGUCAAGGUGUAGAAGUCGUUGCGCAGGGAAUCGUUGACGGGGCCUGAUUUUAGCCUCGAUCCAAGAAGAUAUUGCGCCACUACAUUGAAGGCCAACGUCUUUGUCUCCUCCCGGAUGCUCACGGAUUCUUUUGCUGCCCAAGGGUUCAGAUUCUCCAGCACAGCUUGCUCAAUCGUCGGAAUGCGCUCCCUCAGCAACUCGACGCGGAGACUGUUCACGAGAAACCGCCGCGUGCUCUUCCAUUGAUCUCCGUGGAGGCUCAGCGCGGCGUACUCUCCCAACACCUUGCGAAAGGAUUUCGGGUACCCAGUCACGAACUGCUUGCCUUCAUGGUUAAGCACCCACUUGAUCGUAUCGGCUUUCGUCGUGAUUAUACAAAACGCGCCCAUCAGCUUCGAUUUGAACAUCUCCCCGUACUUCUGUCGAUGCUCCGCCAUGAACGCGGGAGCGGAUGUCAUCAUACUAGCCAUGUAUUUCAGCGUCUCGCCAACGAGGGGCAGGCCAUACGACCCACGAGGCAAGCGCGUAUUAAUCUUGGCACGCUCUUCAUUCUUAGGCCAUAGCUGAGAAAUCAGCAAAACCGAGACGCAAACGAAUGCAACCGUCUCAAGCCCUUGCAGAAACAAUCGACCAUCCAUCUCGCUCUGAACACACAGUCCCCUUUCCAGAACGCCUCCCCCAACUUUCUCCCUCUCACCCCAAAGACUCACACAACAGUUCAUACAACAGCUCACACUGUUCCCUCCUACCACCCAACUGAUCACCUCCUCGCUGCCAAUCCACUCAAGUGACAGCGAAGCGGACACUAGAAUCCAACCUCGAAAGCAAGCAAUGACAAAACCACCGCAACAUCGAAGGUUUUAUAACAACCCAAGCAACAGGGACAUUGACCAGGGAGAGGGGGGGGAUUCUCGACGAGUAAGACUACCCAAAACUCGCAGUCUUAAAGAACCAAGUCGGAAACAGGGUGAAGAGGGCCUACGCAGCGACGGCAGUGCUAGGCAUGGCAUCCAGACAAGACAAGCACACGGCGAGAACGCACAAGAAGCAAUUCUGCGGCGUUUAUUCCGAAGGGGCGGACACGAGAGCUGCUCAUUCUCCAUUCCACCUCCACCCCCAUAAAGCUGCGUCAAAGUAAUCGCUCCGUCAACGCCUCACCGUCACCAACCACGCGCAGCCUCGCCAUCUCCGGGACUCCAUGACGCCGUCCCACGCUGCAAGCUCGCGUUUCGAGAGAGCCUGGUAAUGCUGCUUCCACAGUGGAGCCCCCACCCACGUCCACUGUAUUGUUGCCCACAUUCUUGUUUAACUUAGUUCUCAUGGUUUUAUUAUGUGAUUUUAUCUCCUCAUGGUUGUGGUAGUCCUAUGCUUAUUAAGAAAGGUCUCUUCUCAUGGGCAAAAUUGGGCACUUGGUGUAGGUCAUGGUUUGCCACAUGGCUGCCCCCACCUUCCACUUCCACUGUAUGAGUGUGUGUGUCUAGGUGGGUGUGCGCAUGGCCUUGCAUGUAUGUAGCACACAAUUUUUGUCUUUGGGUUUUCUGACAUGGUCAUGGUGCACCACUGUUUUGUCCAUGUUAUACCUGAGAAUGAGAAUGAGAGGUCCAUUCAUUGAAGCAGGUACUGACAAAGAAAUGAGAGUGAAAAAGAGACCAAGCCAUUUUUCAUGUGAUGUCGUGUUGUUUGUAAAAAGUGUUUGUUUUUGCAUGCCUUGAUUUAUCAUUGUUUAUAGUACUUAUAUAUAUAUAUAGAUAGAUAGAUAUAUAAAUAUAGAUAUAUUUUGAAGUACUUUUAUGAUAUUGGUGUAGUGAGUCAGAUUCUGUGAUAUUGGCAGCUUGUGUUCUGGAUAUCUUUGAUUUAAGGGAAUGGAGCCACUCCAUACAUGUCAAAAUAAUUUAAUAAUUUAAAAAAUGCAUUAAAAUCUUUGAUGUAAAGCAAUAUGUCAUUAAGUGCAGAUUGGGUUGACGGUUGCUGUGCAUUUGUCAUCACAUGGCAUGCAUUUAUUUACUGAUGAUUGUGUGAUUAAACAAUUGUGUCUGUAGCUUUCAAAUUUAUUGAUUCUUGAAAGGUUGACAUGCCAAUACAUUACUGUUGUUUUGUAUAUUGAUAUUCUUAUAACAGUAUGCCCACAUAUUUUAAACUUCUGUUUUGAUUAUUUUAGAUCUAGAGUUUUAAUUCAUAAAUAUCCUUUUUUUAACAAAUUGGAUGUUUGUAAUUUUUACAUGAUAAAAAAAUUAUUCAGUGUGUAUAUAGUAUUACAUACUAAAGGCUCUAAACUAUCAAUGCAAAAUUCCAAAAGUUAAAAUUACUGUUAAAUUAUUGAGUAUUGAGGUUCUGAUAUAUUCUACAAUUUUUGUCACUAAAUAAAAUUUUAGGUUGUUUAGUUGAUUUUAUUGUAUUACAUUAAAAUCAUUAUAUUUUUAUAUGAAUAAAAGUUGGUUCAAUGUGUCACUAAUUAUAUAAAAAUCCCGGAAUCACCAUCAAAAUGCAACAAUGACAAUUGACUUGUGUCAUAAGUUUACAACAUGCCUUUCAAAACUUCUCCAACAUUUCCAGAAGCUAAAUAUAUAAACAUGAAAAUACAGACAUAUAAAUAAAUAAAUAAUAAAAAAAAAUAUAUAUAUAUAUAUACACACAUAUACUUAUGAAAAAAUUGACAAUUGUGGAUAGAUAUUCGAGGAAGAGUAACCGUUGACUUCAAAUGGUGCCCGUCAAAAGGAAUGAAGCACAAUCCCCCAAACUAGUGUAACAAAACUGCUCACAGUGUCACAGAAUGCUGCUGGCUGGCACUCCAUACACAUCAAUUCCCCAGUUGAAGUUUAUCCCCUCUCCACGUCAGGUCCAUCCUACACACCAAUGUAAUAUAUAUAUAUAUAUAUAUAAAAGACUGUGUAUGUACUCGCAAACAGUGGUCCUGGUGGUUGGCUGUCUGCGUCAACAGCAAGGAGAAACGAUGCAGUGUGGCGGUAGACCCAGCUGUUUCUCCGAAGUACUCCACUGCAUCAGACUUGGAUUCUACGGUGCCAAUUGCACCACCAGCUGACUUCUUUUUCUGAUGUCAGAGUGGCUGUUUUGUGCUCCUGGAAACCAUAGAAUGGUGGUUACUCCGACACUGGCUGUGUCUGUAUUAACUCAAGGAUUCGGGCUAGCUGGCCUGUCUGGUACCCGUGAAUGCUUGAAUGAGGGUAAACUUGCUUGUAUUGUAUUAUAAAUGCAUGGAUUGGUGUCAUGUUCAGUGUGUUGCAUGUCUAUAGUAGGAUUAUGAUAAGUGAGAGAAUUAGUGAAUAUUUGAUUUAUGGGUUGUUUGAUGUCAAGUUGUUGCACGAUAUUGAGGUUAUACUCUUCUGAAAGAUUAUGUGUUUUGUUUUUUUGUUGGUUUUGAAAGAUGAUAAUAUGAGUGAGCAAAUGAAAGUGUGGAUUUUCAACAAGAUGUAGAUUACCAAGAGUGUAAGAUAAAUUAAGAGAAGAAAUGGCAUGCCUUGUCUUCUUCUCUGAUUGUUUGCAGGUCUCAAGGACAAGAACUUGAUAAAGACAAAUAAACAAAUGAGACUUUUUUCAAAGAAAGAUGAAAAAAUAGAAAUAACUUGAUAUGUAUAUUAAGAAAGAAACAAGAAUGGCUAUUGCCAAAAGACAAAAAAAUUAGAGACCCUUGAAACUAAAUUAGAAGCAAGAAAAGAGUUGACAAGAGUGAAGAGGGCUUCACUCUUGUCUCUAUAUAUAUUAUCUAACUAAGGGCUAUGUGGCGAUGUUCUAUAGGACCUCCAAUAUGUAUUGACUUUGUAGGACACAUGCCUUAACUUACAAGGCAAGUUUUUCUACGAAUGGGCCACAAAGUUAGCUUGGUCUUCAAGCUAACAACAUGUGUGGCACAUGGCCAACUUGUUGACCACGUUUCUAAUACAAAAAGUCAAUCACAGACACCUAUAAAGUCAAAGUAGCAUCUAUAAAGCUUCUACGUUGUCGUAUUACGUACUUUCCUGCUCGAGAACGCGCCGCGCAUCUGGCUGUAGAAGGUAGUAUAGAGAUUCGCCAAUCGUCAAGCAGUUUAUCAGUUUUUGACUGCUGAAAUAUAAACGACUGCAAGAAUACACCGUAAAUCUAUACGGAUGCCCUUCGACUGCUCGCCGAAGUCCUUUUUGCCCAGUCGGUAGGUCUCUAGACGUUACAGAGAACCCCGAACAACCCAAUCUACUAAUCUCCGAUACCGCUUUAUACUCACGAUCUUGUAUCCACUGACUGUCUUGUUAGACUAACCCAAUAAAUUUCAUUCACUCUGCAUACUCAAUCCUAUAGACACCCUUUUAAUUCUUCAAUCACAGACGUAACUCGAUGUUAGGGACAUAGUCCUUAGACCUUUCUAGAGACAAGUUUCUAGAACCUUCUAGAAAGAAGUCUCUAGAAACUUCCAGAAGAUUCCUUGAAUAUUCUCUUAGAAUAUUCUUCAAAGAUUCCCUAAAGAUUCUUUGAAGAUUCCCUAAAGAUUCCCUUAGAAGGCUCUAGAAGAUUCUUAGAAUAUUCUAGUAGAUUCUAGGAAGUUACUUGAGAAGCUUCCUAGCUCUUGGGUAGUUGCUCGAGAAGCUUCAUAGUUCUUGGGAAGCUUCUUGAUGCGCUUCCUUAGAACCAUAGGCCAGUAGUAUAUAUAGGAGUCGAGGCUGAAGAGUUCUUCAGUCUCGACAACACAUCUCUUGGAGUUCUAGCUCACCUUUCUGGUGUUGUUCUUGUACUCAUCUGUUUAAUCUAGUUCUGCCACUUCUUCUUGAACUUCUUGUUAGAUUUCAAGUCUGUAUUUUGUGUCCGUGAUAGUUUGUCGAGACUACCUUUAUCUUAAUAUCAGAGCUGAAUCCUUCUUGUUUGAGAGCGGAUUACCCCUCUUCUUGAAGGUAUUUUAGUGCUUUAGGGGUUGCGGAUUACCUUCCUCUAAACUGAUAUUUUCUCAAUCACAAUAUCAGAGCUUAGUUCUUUGAGGCAGAGAGUGGACUACCCCUUUCCUUGGAGAUACUUGAGCGUUCUAAGGGUUGCGGAUUACCCUCUCUUGGACUGAUAUUAAUUCCUUCUUUUUGUUUAGCAUAGCUAGUAGAAAAGACUGUUAACAUCGAUUUCAGAGCUUUGCCUUCUUGAUAAAGUGCAGAUUACCCCUCUUCUCGAAAGCAUUGAGGCAUUUUUAGAGGUUGCGGAUUACCCUCCUCUAAAACUGAAAUCGUUUAGUGUUUUUUUUUUUUUUUUUUUUUUUUUUUUUCCUUUUCUCCGAGUAGGUUUUAGUGACAGGUAGUGCUACAAUUUUCUCCAAGAGACUUAGCAAUUUCUUCUUCUCUCAAAAUUUUAAUCCAUCUAUUCUCUAAAUAUGGAAGUAGACCAGGUCAUAGACAGUGCAUCUUCACAAGUAGACAAUAGAGUGACAAUUCUUGCAGAUCUUCAAGCUCUUAUGAAUAGUGUACGAAAGGAGAUUGCAUUUCUUCGCAAUCCAAGUAAAGAACGUCAAAUUGAUCUAGUGACCGAAGAAGCUAGACGCGAAAUUCAUAGCCUACAACAAGAGAUUAUUCGACUGAGAGAAGCAAGACAUGUGUCACAUACGACCCCUAUAGAUACUUCAAGGAUUAGUACGAAAGAACCAAAAGCGAGUAUGCCAGACAAGUUUGACGGAACAAGAGCCAACUUUCGAGGUUUUGUGCAACAAGUACGGCUUUACCUACGCCUAUACCCUUCUCGUUAUCCGAAUGGAUUCACCCAGGUUGCUUUCAUAGGUACUCUUCUAUCAGGAAAUGCUUGCUCUUGGUUUGCUCCACUAUUGGAGAAAGAUUCUCCAAUAUUGUACGACCUAGAGGCUUUCAUAGAGAGACUUACUGCUGCGUUUGGAGAUAGCGAUCGAGAAAGAGUGGCUGAAAGAAAGAUACAAAAUCUGCGACAAGGAUCACGUUCUACUGCAAUCUAUGCUGCAGAAUUUCAACAGCUUACAUGUGUUCUUGAUUGGAAUGAUAAGGCGUUCAUGACACGAUUUCGAUAUGGACUGAGAGAUGAUGUCAAGAACUUAUUGAUCACCAUGCCUAAGGCGGAUACUUUAGAAGAACUUAUAUAUCAGGCAAUUAUUUGUGACAACCGCCUCUUUGAAUUACGACAAGAAAGAUGAUUAGGCUGGAGAAAUGAUGGAGCAUUUGCUACAUUUUCAAAAGGUCCAGAGAAUCACUCCACAGAUCCUGAACCCAUGCAAAUUGAUGCGGUACGUUUCAAACCCCUCACAGCUGAGGAAAGGAAGCGACGGUUUGAACAAAACUUGUGUUUCUAUUGCGGAGAAGCGGGCCAUAAAGCUGUAGAUUGUCGGAAGAAACAGAAGCCUCAAACAACAAGACUCAGGAGUACAAGCAUGCAGGAAAACAAGGACGCCCAGCCACAAUAGGGACCGUGCGGCUGGACAUCUCAACAUCCAAAAUUAAUCAAGGUCCCUUUCUCUCAGCUCAACCUUCAGAUUGUUUUAUGGUACCUUUACAUCUGGGUAUUCAAGAACUAUAAGUCGAUGCUUUAUUAGACUCGGGUGCAUCCGCUUGCUUUAUAGAUGAAGAGUUUGCCAAGCUUCACAAUAUUUCUCUUGUAAAGAAACUUAAGCAUGUCCAUGUAGAAGUCAUAGAUGGACGACCAUUGUCUUCGGGCAAUGUUAUCCAUGAAACUAAACCAUUGAAGGUACGUCUUGAAAACCAUGAGAGCAAUAUUGUGUUUAAUGUUAUUAAGACCCCUUCAUGUCCUAUCAUUUUGGGACUAUCUUGGCUUGAUAGAUAUAAUCCAUUGAUAGAUUGGAAGUUGCGGAAAGUGACAUUUCCAACAAAUUCCUUGAAGGUGGAAUCUGCCAAGACAAUGUCUAGAAACAAAUCCUUGUUUAUAGGUGCAAGGGCUUUCAUGAAGGAAGCCAAGCAAAAUACACCUCUUGUCAUCUUUGCAACUCCGACUCGAGAAGAUGCAACUAUGACUUUGGUUAUUCCAAAGCAGUAUGAAGAAUUCAAAGAUGUCUUUGAAAAGAAGAAUGCUGAUAUGCUGCCAGAGCAUCGACCCUAUGACUGUGCCAUUGAAUUGCAAGAAGGAGCACAACCACCUUUUGGACCAAUCUACAAUUUGUCGCAGACGGAGUUGAUUGAGUUGCGGAAGUACAUUGACGAGAAUCUAGCCAAGAAUUUCAUCCGUCAUUCGAAGUCGCCAACUGGGGCACCAAUCUUAUUUGUGAAGAAGAAAGAUGGCUCACUACGGAUGUGCGUGGACUAUCGAGGUCUCAACAAGGUGACAAAAAAGAAUCGCUACCCACUGCCUUUGAUCUCUGGUCUUCUAGAACAACUUAGGCGUGCAAGGAUCUUUACAAAGAUUGACCUAAGAGGAGCUUACAACCUUGUGCGAAUCAAGGAAGGAGAUGAAUGGAAGACAGCUUUUCGAACAAGGUAUGGCCAUUUUGAAUACAAUGUCAUGCCAUUUGGUCUUACUAAUGCUCCAGCGGUCUUUCAACACAUGAUGAAUGACAUCUUUCCAGAGCAUCUAGAUGAUUUUGUUGUCAUCUAUCUAGAUGAUAUUUUGAUAUUUUCUAAGAACGAGGAAGAACAUGAGAAGCACGUUCGUCUGGUACUCAAAAAACUACGGGAGCGAGGACUCUAUGCCAAAUUGGAGAAGUGCUUAUUUCACCAAACUGAGAUAGAGUUUUUGGGAUUCAUCGCGACUACGGAAGGAUUGAAGAUGGAUCCAAAGAAGGUGGAAGCAAUCAUGUCUUGGGAAGUUCCGAAGACGGUUAGGGACGUACAAUGUUUUCUUGGAUUUGCUAACUACUAUCGGAUCUUCAUCAAGAAUUAUUCUCAAGUUGCUGCCCUCCUCACUCGGUUAACGUGCAAGGACAAGCUCGAAUGGGGACCUAUCGCAGAAAAAGCAUUCCAAGAUUUGAAGAUGGUAUUUACUACAACUCCAAUCUUGGUACAUCCGGACUUUACAAAGGCCUUUUAUUUGGAGACAGAUGCUUCGGAUUUUGCUUUGGGAGCUGUACUUUCACAGAUGGGCGUAGAUGAGAAGCUCCAUCCAGUUGAGUUCUAUUCUCGAAAAUUCUCUGCUGCUGAGAUCAACUAUGAGAUCUACGAUAAGAAACUCCUUGCUAUAGUAGAUUCUUUCCAAGAAUGGCACCACUUUCUCGAAGGAACUGCACAUCCAGUGACCGUAUAUAUGGAUUACAAGAAUUUGGAGUAUUUUAUGUCGGCUUGGGUUUUGAAUCGGCGUCAAGCUCGGUGGAGUAUGUCGCUAUCCAGGUUCGACUUUGUUAUUACUUAUCGGCCUGGGAAGCAACAAGGGUUGUCCGAUGCAUUAUCAAGGAGAUCAUAUCUCGCGCCAAAGGCUGGAGAUGCAGCAUUUGAUCAACAGUGCACGACAUUGUUGAAGCCAGAGAAAUUUCGACUCAACGCAGUUAUUGUACCAAUUGAUGCUGACUUCCUCGACCAGGUACGGGUCGCAACCAUUGAAGAUUCUCUAGUCCUUGAUAUCAAGCAACAUGCUAGUGAUGAUAAAUUCAAGAUGGAAGGAAAUCUAGUAUAUUUCGAAGAGCGGUUGUAUAUCCCAAAAGGGCCAACACGACUCCGAGUUCUUCAAUCUCGUCAUGACUUUCUAGCUACGGGACAUUUUGGAUUCAAUAAGACCUUGGAACUUAUUUCCCGCGAUUUUUGAUGGCCUCAAAUGUAGAAGGAUGUGAAAGAUUUUGUUGUAUCUUGUGACAUUUGUUCAAGAUCCAAAAACCCUCAACAUCGGCCUUAUGGACUUCUACAGCCAUUGCCUAUUCCGCGCCGACCAUGGUCUUCGGUUUCCAUGGACUUUAUUACGGAUCUACCACCAUCGAAUUCAUUUGACAGCAUUUUUGUUGUCGUAGAUCGGCUUACAAAGAUGGCACAUUUUGUCCCUUGCAAGAAGACAUCGUCAAGCGAAGACACAGCAAGACUCUUUCUUGAUAAUGUGUAUCGAUAUCAUGGUCUAUCAGAUGAUAUCGUAUCGGAUCGAGGAACCCAGUUUGUGUCAAAGUUUUGGAAAUUUCUUUUUGAGAUAUUGAAGGUGGAUAUCAAGCUUUCUUCAGCAUUUCAUCCUCAAACGGACGGCCAAACAGAACGAGUGAAUCAAGUUUUAGAGCAAUAUUUACGUUGCACCAUCAACUAUCAACAAGAUGAUUGGGCCGCAUAUCUACCGCUAGCCAAGUUCGCAUAUAACAACACCCUUCAUGCGUCAACUCAACAAACGCCAUUCUUUUUCAAUUAUGGAUACCAUCCGAAGCUUGACUUAUGGAGUUCGUUAACGAUUAACAAUCCGGCAGCUGAAGGAUUGGUGAAGGAGCUUUCGCAACUUCAAACUAUAUUGAAGCUUCAAUUGCAAACUGCCCAAGAAUCUUACAAGGCGUCCGCGGACAAAUUUCGGAAUCAAGCACCUAAAUUCACGAUUGGAGACAAAGUUUGGCUGCUUCGACGAAAUAUUAAGACCAAGCGGCCAUGUGACAAAUUGGACUAUCGGAGAUUGGGACCAUUUGUUAUCCAGAAGCAGAUCAAUCCUGUAGCGUAUCGUCUGGAGUUACCAGCUACUAUGAAGGUACAUCCUGUCUUUCAUGUUUCUUUGUUGGAGCCUUAUCGAGAAUCGUCUUUUCCUGGAAGAGUACAAUGUCCACCACCUAGCAUAGAAAUAGAGAACCACGAAGAAUACGAGGUGGAAAAGGUCCUGGAUUCACGGCAAAGACGGGGUAAAUUAGAAUACUUUGUGCAUUGGAGCGGUUACGAUAUUAAUGAACGAACAUGGGAGCCGGCCGAAAAUCUCGCGAAUGCGCCGCAAAAGGUACAAGAGUUUCAUCGACGAUAUCUUGAGAAACCCAAGCCGGUUUGACGAUAGCUUCUUACUGAAGCUUGCUCAUCCAGAAAACAGAAAAGAGGAGAGAGCACCACCAAAAUCCAUAGUUGAUGUAGUCAUUCUCUCCAAGAUAGCGUAGAACUUUGUUAGUAGCCCAAGUUUGUUCUUAUUGUUUUAGCCUUUGAAUAUGGAUAGCCAAGAUACUACACUUGUCAUGUCAUCUCAAGCAACUAGCUCACGAAGACGACCGCGAGAUGAAGAACCGCCUGCACCACGACGACGUCGAAGGAUUCCGAGCAACAGAUCGCUGGUGAUUAUAUUUUGAGGUCAAGCCUGCCUACAAUGGUCAGCCAGAAGGAGUGUUUGCAGGACAAUUUCACAAUGAAGACACGGAGGUUCAUGCUUGGUCAGAAGUUGAAGGCGUGGGCCACUAGCGUUGGCUUCAAGGACCAUUGAAUCACUUGCCUCGUGAACAACAAUUGGAAUUCAUAGCAGAGGUUAUGCGACAGAUCUUCAUUUUCUUGGGUUGGUAUUGACUGACGAUAACAUUGCUUCUCGGAGACCUCGAAGCUAAAGGAGGAGGUGAUGUUAGGGACAUAGUCCUUAGACCUUUCUAGAGACAAGUUUCUAGAACCUUCUAGAAAGAAGUCUCUAGAAACUUCCAAAAGAUUCCUUGAAUAUUCUCUUAGAAUAUUCUUCAAAGAUUCCCUAAAGAUUCUUUGAAGAUUCCCUAAAGAUUCCCUUAGAAGGCUCUAGAAGAUUCUUAGAAUAUUCUAGUAGAUUCUAGGAAGUUACUUGAGAAGCUUCCUAGCUCUUGGGUAGUUGCUCGAGAAGCUUCAUAGUUCUUGGGAAGCUUCUUGAUGCGCUUCCUUAGAACCAUAGGUCAGUAGUAUAUAUAGGAGUCGAGGCUGAAGAGUUCUUCAGUCUCGACAACACAUCUCUUAGAGUUCUAGCUCACCUUUCUGGUGUUGUUCUUGUACUCAUCUGUUUAAUCUAGUUCUGCCACUUCUUCUUGAACUUCUUGUUAGAUUUCAAGUUUGUAUUUUGUGUCCGUGACACUCGAUUUCACAAAACAGUCAAGAGUAAUCAAACCCACUUUAUUAAAAAUCCCGAUUCACCGUUACAACAUUGACUUCAACAACGAUUGCCUCAAUCUUCCCAAAACCCUAUGAAGAAAAAAAACCCAAUUCCCUGUCUUUUUUUCCCGCCCGAAGCAUGAAGCUAGCUCUGUGAUCCUUCAAAAAAAAACUCCCCAAAAAACUUAUUUUCUCCCCUAACCUUAUCCUUUGAAUUUCUUCAAUCUUCCGUCUUGGAUCCGGAAUUGGCUCCCACCAUCAGAGCUUGGAUCCAAAAUUGGCUCUCGUCGUCAGAGCUUUCGUUCCCAUUUUUACCUUUAAGAGAUCUUUUUACCGAAAACAACGUUCCCUGAAACAACACAAAGAACAAGACAGCCUGAAACAGAAUCGAAACCCUGUAAUCGAGACCACAUUGAGUCGCCCGACCAAUUUAGGUCUCAUAUUGGCUAAGAGUCCAGAUAUAAGACCCGGAUAUUCCCGUAAUUGGAUCAAAUUGGUCCUUCACAUCAGAUUGGCUGAGGCCCAUAGUAAGACUUGGAUUUUUCCUUAAUUAGACUCCAUUGGGUUGCCCGGCCAAUUCAGGUCUCAUAUUGGGUAAGAGGACCCGGAUUGGAUUCUUGAAAUUGGAUCCAAUUGGCUCUUCGAACUAGGCUCACCCGUCAUGUGAAUUGGUCCAUUCUCUUCCUGCUGACUCCCGUUAUUGGAAUCGAACGGAGCACUUCAGUAUGCCCCAGCUGACUGUAACGGGGUGACUGAACCUGGCCACUUAGUAUUUGUACUGGAGUUGGUCGUUGCUCCCAAUAUUCGAGGUAAGUGAACAUUAAUAAAAGUCCCCUUUCUUUAUAUUUUCACGGUAUACUCGUAUUACAACACGACAUCCACCCCCUCUGAACCUGUGCAUCCUCCGGUAUGCACCAAUUUACCCAAUUGUUGUUUGAUUCAGAAUAUAUCCUCUACGUCUUUGUCCAGUUCGUCUUCGUCACCUUCAUUAUCCAAAUCACUUUCAUCUUCUUACUGCGGAAUCUCUAUAUCUUCACUAAGGUCUUUCAUAUUCAUCUCCACGUGUCUUCGUUUAAAUAUUUUUACUCGCUUCCCUGCAAUUGGUAUUUUCAAUUUUGUACCAUCUAACUCUCAUAAUGAAUAAGUCGCAUUAUCAUAAACAAUUGUUACUACAUAUGGUCCAAACCAACGUUUUGAAAAUUUCCACAAAAUAGUAUGUUGAUUAUCCAGACUAUUGUCAUAAACAAGUACCCAGUCACCUUCUUCGAUUGCUUUAGGUCUCAAUCGAUGUUGCUUAUCGAAUCGCGCCUUGUUUUGUAACCUUGCUCUUUUUAACCGUUCCAAUGCUAUCUGCACAUCUUCCGAUCUUUGCUCCAAUUGUCGAAUCCUAAUAGCCAGAAGUUCUUCUCUUGUCAAUCCAUCUUUCCAUGGUAGCAUACUCCAAGUAAGUACCUUUUCUUCAAUCGACAUAAUUGAUUUUCAACCUGUCAUAAGUUCUACUGGCAUAUAUCCUGUCACCGAACUAUGUGUUGUUCGAUCAGCCCAUAAUGCAAAUGACAAAAGCCGUGGCCACUCUUUAACUUUUCCAUUAUAUGCUUUAACUAAUGCUUUCACAAUCAGUGGGUGACUGCGUUCGCUUUUUGCAUUCCCUUCUGGAUUAUAAGCAGUAGUCAGUGAUAGUCUAACCCUACAUCUUUCAAAGAACUUACGAGCUUCUUGUGCAUUUAAUUCUCCACGAUCUGCAUUGAUUUUUCCUACGCAUCCGUAGCGGCAAAUGACAUCUUCAAGCAAAAACCUACAAAUUUCCUCUGUAGAUUUUGUCCUAAAUGCUCUUCCUUCUACUUGAUUUGAUAAAUCUUCAUAAGCUAAAACCAAAUAUCUCAUUUGUCAUAAUCCAACUGGCAUAAUAACCAAAUCAACAAUCCAUUUAAAAUGAAUAGCCAGAGGAUACGUAGGAUGAAGACCAUCUCGAUUUCGGAUAUUAGAAUACGAUUGACAGAUUUCACAUGACUCUACAAAUGAGAGUACAUCUCAAUACAUAUUUUUCCACGAAUAUCGUUCCUUGAGUUUAGGAAAAGUAGUCCAGAUUCUUCUAUGCACUAUCUAUAAAUUAUCAUGAAACUCCUUUAAUAAUUUUAGUUUUUCUUCUUUUUUGCCUAUCACUCGUUGUGGCACCCCAAUUCCUUUCUUCGGUCUCUUCCAUAAGAAUCCAUCUCGAAGUAAAAAUCCAUAUGUUUUUUUUCUUAUUUGUUUGAAUUUUUCUGUAGACCAAUUCCCCUGCUUAGUCAAGGUAUUCAAAUAAUGACCAAUAUCCAAUAAUUCUCCUUCAUAAGAUUCUUCAAGAAAUAACUUGUCUACUCUGUUGAGAUUUGAUAUUGAAUAGAAUUUCAAUCCGACGUCAUCAAUGUCUUCAACAAUUUCGUCCUCCCUCUCGUAUCUUGCUCGAGAUAGCAUGUCUGCUACUAAAUUGUCCUUCCCAGUAAUAUGCUUAAAUUCUGGAUUUAGUGACUUAAUAUAAGCAAUCCAUCUCAACAUUGCAAUAUCUGGCGUUGAACAGUUAUUAAUCAUUCCAAGCAAUGGCAAGCAAUCUGUUUCAAUUACUACUACUGUUCCAAUCAAAUAGUCCUUUUCAGAUUUCAUAGCUGAAAUGACUCCCUAAAGUUCUCUUUUGACUUGCGAAUAUGCACGCUGACGAAUACUUAAAACUUUAGCCCCAAAUCAAACUGCAAAUCUAUUCCCAUUUGAAUCAUCAUGACCCACAGCCCAUCUAAUGGCAAUUGGACUAGCGUCCACAGUAAGAAUCACUGGUCUAUUGCACUUAUAAUCAACCUUCUUCAAUAUUGGAGGUGACAUCAAUAAUUUCUUCAAUCUUUGCAUUGCCUGAAUAUGCCUUUCUUUCCAUUUAAAUCGGUAGCCCUUGCGUAACAGUUCAUAUAAUGGAUCCGCUAUGUGAGCAUAAUGAGGGAUCUAGAUUCGAUAAAAUACACAUGCACCUAAAAACCUGCGCACCUCUGUUAAAGAAUCACAAUCCUCUUUCAUCCUUCCAAUUGCAUCAACUUUAGUCGGAUCUGGUUUGCUUCCGUAAGAUCCACAUAAAUGUCCAACAAUCACAACCUCUCGUACUCCAAAUACGGACUUCAUACCCGAUAAUGUAAGAUGAACUUCUCCAAGCAGAGUUAAAAUCUUUUCACAAUCUUGUAUAUGAUCAACAACAUAUUUGCGACACCCCCUCGUAUCUAAAGUUUCAUCUUUGUCUCCUUCUCUGCACCCUUUUAUAGGAACAUCAUCCAGAAAAGGCAUAGUCUUUUUCGGAUUAAAAUCUCUCAAUACCUUAUUCAUCCCAUUCAUCAUAUGGACAACUGAGUUGGUCGCGCCUUGAGGAAGAGUGCACAUUCUAACCAAUCCAAGUGGUGUCCUCAUUGUUGUCAUAUCUCUACUUCUUUCGGUAAGUUGAAAUUGAUCAUAACCUGAAUACAAGUCACCCAUUGAAUAGAUCGCCCUUCUAGCAAAUGCCUCAGCAAAUUCAUCCACAAUAGGUCCAAUUCCUACAUUCUUGACAGUUACUGCAUUCACCGGUUG